RNAcentral lists this long non-coding RNA (51942 nucleotides) under Sorghum bicolor (sorghum). RNAcentral's name for it is "long non-coding RNA (SBIC_LNC004408)". The record is from RNAcentral. Lineage: Eukaryota; Viridiplantae; Streptophyta; Magnoliopsida; Poales; Poaceae.
AACUAUAUAGAAAAGCCAAUAAACAGUAGAAAUAGUUGGUCAAUGAAGGGGUUACUUGAGGCUUGCAGAUGGAGUGAGUAAAAAACGUGCUCUUAACAUAAACCUGCAACCAUGGCACCAGGAUAGCUGAUCAAAACAUUGACAACUACCAAGCAAAUGUCAUCCUGUUUUCUAGAAGAAAAAAAUAUAACAACACCACGAGACAUUCUUCUACAGUUAAUAGAUGAAUGUCAGAAGACCAAAUUUUCACAAGAGUAGAACAUGCUACGGUACUGUGAGAGCGAGUUGAAGAGGCCAAGGCUAGCUCCCCCAUGGUCGGCUAGCCACCGCCGCCGGCCGCUGGCCGUCGUCGGCCACCCACCUCCCCCACCCACCCCAGCCUCCUCCUUCCCUCGUCCCCGCGGCUCCUCCAGUCGGUCUCCGACCUGCUCCUCCCGGCGAUCGGAGUCCUUGCUGGUCCAACUUUGGUUGUUUCCUCGACGUCAGUUCCCUCCACACAGAUCUCUUCGUCCGAAUGGGAGGCCUCUCAGAUCUCUGCUUCGCUCAUGGUUUAGAAUUUGAAAGAGUGGUGGAUCGCUGUUUCAAAUGCUCGGUGAGUCCUACACCUCUCAGCUCCCCCUCUAAUUUCCAUCUGCUCCUCAGCUCUGGCCGAUCUGCCAUUCGUUUGAAUGAAGAUUCAGUUGCUCUGAUUCUCCAAGCCUGUUUGGGGGGAGUUGCAAAGGAUUUCAAUGUUUGCCAUCUCUCGGGUUGGAUGUUCAAAUUCACUGUUUCUUGCAAAAAAAUGGGUCUUAUGGUUUACAAGCUUAAUAACUUCUCCUACAAAUCUUAUUCUCUCUUCUUUGCCCUGUGGCGAGAAGGGGGACCAAAUUGGAGAAAGCAAUACGAUCUGUUUUGCAAAGAACAGGAAGAUGAGUGGUUUUUAAUCGGUGCCAAAGGCAAAAUAAGAAGAGGUCCAGCAGCCUCGGAUAGAAAGAGCUAUGCUGACAUUGUUCGAUCUUCGUCUCGUCAAGCUCCGUAUGUUUUCAAGAGACUAUCCUACCCUUCGGACUACAACAAAAACUUUGAAUCUCAAUUUUUUCGUGGCCCUAAUCCCAACUCGUCCUCCAUGUCCGCCACGGCUCCCAAUCAAGAGUGUGUUCGUCGCUGGAUCAUCAAGGCUCCGCCUGAUUCUUGGGAGCGUUCUCAGUCUUUGAAAACAGUCAUAACUGCCAAGGCGCAUUCCUUGGCUCGCCCACUUUCAAAAUCUCAUCCGCUGCCUCCUCCUGGGCCGACCCGUCCCGGUGGGCGUGAUGGCCUUUGCCGCAGAUGUCUUGGGCCUGGGCACUCAAGGAAGGAGUGCACCAAUUUGGUAAGAUGCCUGAUAUGCUAUAAUUACGGGCAUACCUCCCGGUCCUGUCUCUCCAAAAUCCACGCCAAACGCCGUUACCGGGUGGUUUCCCGUUCGGAAGCUGGAGGGUCGCUGGGGAACGAUUUAUUCCCGAGCACAUCGCCUCCCCUCGUUCCUUCCGUCCCCCCCCUUUCCACUGUGCCUGCUCCAGUCUCCGAAAACCCCACUCCGCCCUCCAUGGCGAAUUGGCCAUGUGAUCCAGUACCGCACCUGCCUCCAGGCUUCUCCAUCCAAGAACCACCCCUCCGCAAUGGAAUUCGCCAUGAGGUCUUCGUCACGGGUUGCUACUCGCUCUACAAUGAAGACUUGGCGAUCAUCAAGCUGCAGCCUCCAGUGAGCGGGGAUGACUUCGGCGAAGUCAAGACUGCACUCAGGUCAUUCUUUCAGGAUGUCCAUCAGGUUCGCAUCUCUGAGAUCCAGCACUCUGCUCUAGGUGACGCUUAUGUCAGAUUCAGAAGUGCAUUAGAUAGAGAAAGGUUCCUAGGUCCAGUUUUUCCUUUGGGUAACUAUGCUAUGAGAGUUAUCAAACAUGAUGAAGCGGAUAAUGCACGUAGCUUUGAUCUUGAUAGAGAAGCUUGGGUUAUGCUAGUUGGUUUCCCAGAGGAUCUUAAGGACUCUGUUAAUAUUGCUAAGGUUGUCUCUGGUUUUGGUAUUUUGGUGCAAUGGCAUGAACCUGAUAAUCUAGCAAGAGUAGUUGCAAAGGUUUACUUGAAUGAUGAUGCUAAAAUCCCAGAAUCUGUUAAAGUUAAUGCUGGCUUACCCCAAAAGGGCAGAUCCUGGACUGUCCCCUGCUACAUUCUGAAAAGACAACAGGUAUCAGAAGUGCAAGAUGAGGAGGCCUUCAUCAACUUUGGACCAUUGCAUCCUCUGCCGGCUCCCCCUCCUCACUGGAUGGGGCCCGUCCCACCUGCUGACCCAAACACCACUCCCAGAGGAUCCAACGUGGGACCUAAUGCUCACCCCUUUGGAAGUGAUUCAGGUAAUAGGUGGCAACAGCAGCUUGCACCAGUCGAUGAUGAAGGUAUCAAUCAGAGGGUUCAGAACUUGGCUGAGAUUGCCAAUGCUACAUCUAAGAUCGUGUCAGAGAAGGGGACAGAGAAUGUCGAGAUUCCUCUUGAUGUUGCUCCUAAUAUCAAGUCAGUGGUCAUUGGCCCCUCCAAGGCGCAAGGCAAUACACAUACAAGUGAUCCACUGAUCCCUGUGAUCUCAUCUCUCAUCAGGAAGGUAAUCUCUUAUAUACACAAGAAUCAUCACUUCCAAAUCUUUAAGAAUGUCUCCAAUCUUGUUGUUGAUCAUAAUACCCUGAUCCCAUCAUACAUAUCGGACACACCAUUGCUCAUUCAUCUAGCUUUCAUCCUGUUUCCACAGCUCGGUGACAAUACCCUGGAAAAGAUAGCUCUUGUAACACCCUAGGUGUUAAGCAUGCACUUAGUCUUAUCAAAGUCAUGCAUAAGCAUUCCCAUCAAGCAUAAGCAUCAUGAGCAUGUCAUUCUUUUCAAAAUAUGAUUUUAUGUGCUUCAUUUCAUGAGUUUUAAAUAUGCUAAAAAUAUGAUGCUUGCUUCUAAAAAUGUGAAAUAUUCAAACUAGGUUGAUUUAUGUGUAAGAAGAAUUAAGAACAUUUUUGUGUAAUUUUUGGAGCUAUAGAAUUUGAGAAAUGGAAUUUAUACAAAAUAUCCAAAAUGAAUUUAUUUAAAAACCUAGAACUAGGUUUUAAUUUGUAAUUCAAAUUCUACUUAGAAUUUGGUUUUGCUUAUUAAAACAAAGUUGUAGAAAUUUUGUUUUGGAACAACUUUACUUUUGGGAGAAAAUGGUGAAAAUGAUUGGAAAAUGGUCAAAAUGAAUUUGGAAGAGCAUUUAAGAAAAGAAAUUCAAAAAAAAGGGAAAAGGGGGCGCUAGUAGGCCGCGGCCUCACUUCUGGCCCGCUGGCCGAAGCCGGCCCGGCCCGCCCGCGCCUUCCCCUUCCCCUUCCCCUUCCCCUUCCCCGCGCUCGCGCCCGCGUCCGCGCGCGGACGGCCUCGCCGUGCCGCCGUGGCGCGCCGGCAGAGCCUGGCCGCCGCGUGGCGGGCAUGCGACGGCGUGGAGAAGCCCUGGUCGGCCACCAGGAGCCCCCGGUCGCGUCCGCCGAAGCCCCCGCUCCCAUUUGCGCCCUCCAGCUCGCGCUCUCGCCCCUCUGCUCGCUCUCGCGCAGCACUCGCCGCUACGCCGCACGCCAUAGCCGCCGACGGCUCGGAGCUCCUCUCCCGGCCAGCUCCGGCCCUCUCCUUCCUCUUCGCGACCACCACCGGCUCCGCCUCGUCCUCCCGCGUCGCGUGCUUGCGCUCUUCCGCGCUCGGUAAGCCCCGCGUGCCCGCUAGAGCUCACCGGAGUGAGUCGGAGCUCCGACGACCUCUCGGUUCGUACGGUUCUCCCUCUCCUCUCUGUCUCUGCUUACGUUCGAAGGUGCGUUGGAUCCGUCUUGGCCUUGCGCACCUUUUGCGUCGUUAGCUUACGCUCUACCGCCGUGAAACGGCCGGACCACGGCGAGCAGCGCCGCCGCGUCCGCCAUUCGCGACGGCGAGGUAGUUCCAGUGCUCGUCCGGUGCCAAAGAGGGUACGGUUGGACUCGUCUCGUUCUCGCGAAGCCGUAGGUGCUCUCGGUGUCGCCGGAAACCUCACCGGCGGCGAGAUUCCGGCUGAUCCGUGGCCGCGGAAUCACGGGGUGGAUGACAAGUGGGGUCAUCUGACCCGCGUGUCCCACCUGUCAGUGAGUCCGAGGGUUUGAACCCGGGUGCGCUUAGCGUUUUAGGUUGUUUUCCGUUUUAAAAGUAUUUUCAGAAAAUGGGUUAUGUAUUCAAAAAUCCAUAUCUUGAGGAAUAUAGCUCCAAAAAUUGUGAAAUAAAUUUUGGUGUGUUCCCUGUUUCCAGAUCUAUAGCCUAGUAUGUUUGCAUGUCAUGUUUAAGUAACUUUUCUGUAUGAAUAUACUUAAUCCAUGUUUUUGCUAAACUUGGAAAAUGCACAAUAAUUAAAAUAUGACUCAGAAAAAUAUGAAACUUGUUUUAUGGGCUUUGCAUGUAUGUUUACUCACUGGAAAAAUAUGUCUACAUAUUAUUUGGUGUAUAAAUGAAUUUAUGGUAAUUUAAAUGCUUGCAUGGCAGUGAUUUAUGAUUUUUAAUAAUUAAUUGGAUCAUGCAAUAAAUCUGGAAAAUUUUGUGGGUGUUUCUUAUGAUAUUAGACAAAUUGUAAAAAUAUGAAAUCUGUUGUUUGACACUUAUAUCACAGUAGAGUGAUUAUACUUACCCUAUGAAUUAAUCUUGUGAUUUUUGUGGCUCAAAAUAAGUAUCCAAAAAUUAUGAAAAAUUUACAGUAGACUUUAUGCUUAGCUGGUAGUCUCCUGUAAUUUUUAUGGAAAUUAUUGAUGAACAGAAUUGCAUGUGAUUUUUAAUGGGCCUAGAAAUGAAUAAAGAAAAUUAUAAAUUGUUGUAUAUAUAGGUUGGAUGGAAUAAGUUGGGUUUGGUGUAUCUUUGAAGCAUCAUGUGGGUUGCUGGUUGUAUUUGAAAAAUAAUUAUAGAAGAGAAUGCAAUAGAUGUUUGAUUCAGUUAAUUGCUCUUGGAGGUUGUUGACUACCUUGUAAUGAGCAUGACCAAGCAUAUCACUUAUGCAUCAUGUCAUGACUCCUUUAGUACCUUCUCAUACAAGCAUCCACUCGGGCAUCUCGCACUCCACUCAUAAGCACACCUGCAUCAUACAGGCUCGCAGGAGAAUGAAGUGGGACCCGAGGAGCCAGAGGAGAUUCAGAAGCAGGAACCUCCGGAAGCACAGGAACCCGGAGAGGAACUGCAGGAGUGUGCAGAUCACCGACCCAGCACAUUUGAGAAAGGCAAGCCCCAGAGCAUUCUAAAUCUCCCUAUUCUCGCUAACUUAUACAAAGCACUAUACUUGUUCUACUAUAUUGCAUUUAAGUGAUAGGAAUUGCUUGAUACCGUUGAUGCAUAUGUACUCCUUGUUACCCUUACUUGUUCACCUACCUUGUCCUAUGUAGAUAGGCACGGAGUCUAUGCUUAGCUUGCUUAGUCCGGUAGAAGUCGGGUGAUUUCCUGUCACCUGCGAGAUAUAGGUGGUUACCUGCUUGAUUAAGCAUGGAUUGCUUGGGGAAAAGAAUAACCAAGUGUGGAAUGUAACUGGAGACCGGGCAGGGUCUUAUAGUGGGUUGACCAUAGUGCCCCUGCCUGUGUCGAUUAAGGACCGAUCGUUGACGGCCCUCUUGUCAUGUUGAACGCAUGCCCCACCUUUAGCUGGAAGGAUAAGUCGUUCCGACCGCGAAGCCUGAGCACUAUCCGGGCCGGGAAUCGGCCCGAUGUACGCGCUGUAUUGGUGAUGGUUGAGGAGAACGACGAGGGCGCGGCGCGCAACCUUGGUAUACCUUGGAUACCUUGGUCGCCGGAACGGUCCUCGGGUAUGGGCGGUGCCUGUCGAACCCGCGAAUUGGUCCUGGAUAGUGCAAUACGGUGACCUGUAGCUCACUUGAUCAGUGAGUGUGGUUUGUGUGGGGAAUAAACUCGCCAGCUGGUUAGAAAUCGAUUCGAAUCGCCAUCGCUCCUGGAUAGUGAGCACUUGACAUGAGCCCUGUCCUCGUAGUAAGGACUAUGGAACACUUGGGUUAUAAUGAUGAAUGGUUAUAAGAAAUGCUAUGAUGAGGUACUAUCAUAGUCUUAUACUUGCUUGUAAUAGUGCAGGUGCAAACCUAGAUGAUAGGUAAUGAUACUUUCAACUUGAGCAAAUUAAAAGAAGAAAGACUUAUGUAGGUUAUGAUAAUAAAAUCCUGCGGUUUUGCAAAGUGGUUGUCAGCUACCCCACUAUAUAGCCUUCAUGAUCCUUGAUGAGUCUUUAUUUUAAGUUUAUGACGGGUAAGUCUAGCUGAGUACCUUCUCGUACUCAGGGUUCUACUCCCAUGUUGUUUUGCAGAUGGUCAAAUGUACUUUGGUUAUUGCAUCCUCUGUCUGUACCCAGCCAUGGGUGAUGACUAGACCAAGGGCGAUGGUCACUCCAUCUCUUCUUUUGCUUUGGUGGGAAUGACCAAACUAUGGCACUGUAUCAGACUAAGUGCGUGUGUUGUAUUUUCGAACUAUGAAGCUUCCGCUACUUGAAGAACUUGGUUUGUAAUAACUUUAAGUACUCCGAUGUAUUUUAUAAACGUUGUAACCUGGGUGUAUUUGUGGAUGGCGACCGCUAAACUUAUUACGAUCUUGGCUGUUGUACGAUGUGUGGUUUGAAAUCCUUCGAGAUUUCACGGACUACCGGGAUUAUAUGGGCUUAAGCCUGAUGGUUUGACUAUGCAAAUGGUCGUUGUUAGGCUUAAUCUCUUAUAAUUUGGUCGGUUCUGUUACAGCUGGCAUCGGAGCAAGGUUUAGCGAGUUACUGUUCAUAAGUACGUUCUAAACAAAAUCUAAACCGGUCUAAUAAAGGAUUUUAUUAAUUAAUAAUGAUCAAGGUGUUAAACUAAGUUUUGGAAAACUAUCUAGUGUGCCAUGGUCAUAUCCUUUAUGCCCAGUUAAGGACUCUAAGGUGGCUAGUUAAGUACUGACUUGGGGGUUAAUGCAUCAUAUUUUUAUUUCGUCGCUCAUACGGCGUGCAAUAGUAUGAGUGCCAUUCAUUUGAGUGGUAAUGUAUGGAUCCAUUUUUCCUCUACGCCACGGUAAGUGGGAGCUGGGAGAGCAUGAUCGGAUACACUGCCGGUCUAGGGGAGUGUUGCUAGGUACUGUGUCAUGCACACAUGUUUUGGUGUGUCUUGGAAACAGUACCGCAUGUUGGGAAUUCCGUCCUGAGAGGCGAUGCCGUCAAUAGGGCGAUGAUGUGGGUAGUGACACAUCACAUGCAUGGACGGGUGUCAGUGUAUGUGAAGUGCAUAGUUUAAAAUUUUGUUUUGCAUUAUCAUACUGUGGGUGGGCUGAAGUGAGUUUUCUGCAGGUACCCUAACCACGUUCUCGCUUAGAACGCUAGUUACGUUAUGAGAGAACGUUGUGUGCCACCGCAUAUACCGCUUAGUGUUAACCUUUGUUUCUAAGUUUGUGAGAUCGUAAGUUCGUGCAUGCAUCAUGUUCAUGUCAUAUCAUUACUUACUUUCCCCCUUAAUCUAAUCUGUCCCAAUUCUAAAUAAAAUAAUUAAAGGUAAUCCUCGCUCUUACCCACGGUAUUCCAUUUGCAGCAGAUGGCACGCACUAGGCUCACCGCUCGCAAGUCCACUGGUGGGCGGGCCCCUCGCCAUCCGUUGGCAGCUAGGAGCUCACGACAUAAGAGCAAGUUCCUGGAGGAGUUUGGGAUGCCCACUUUGCUUUGGAGGGUGCUCAGUUCGAUGGGGUAUCCCGAAGGAAGGGAGCCUCGCUACUAUUGGGAUAAGGAGCCGCUUGGUGACGAGACCCUGGUGGGGAUCGAGGUAGUUGUCCCUACCAGUGGAGGAGACCCUGCUUGGGGCGGCUGGGUGUACGAGUCUCGAGGUGUCACACCUUUCCACGGUGCCAGCAGGGCAGCUUUCGCAGUUCUGAGGGACCUCAUGGAGAGGUUUCCACAGGAGCUGGCCCACGCCUUCGCUGGGGUGUUUCCCCGGGGUGACCCCUACACUUCGGUGUGGGAUCAGUCUGAGGUGAAUGCUCUAGAGAGGAGUGCGGAUGAGGACCAGCACAGUGAUGGUGCAGCUAUGAGUGCCAUGUACGCGUUGAUGAAGACCUAUGGAGGCCUGGAGCGUUGUUUGGGUCGUUUGUCCGGGUCUCUUCUCACCGUCCAGGAUGAGAAGCGUCAGUUGCAGCGUGACUUUGACUCUGAGGUUGAGAGGCUACAGGCAGAGUUGGCCCGUGUGACCACAGAGAGACCAGGCAGUCUAGAAGAACAGUGAGCUGAGCCAGGACCUGCUUGCAGUGCGAGAGCAGAGGGACAGGGUGACUACUGCUCACAGGAACUGUGAGCGCAUGCUAGUCCAUGUGCUUGGACAAAGGAAUGAAGCCUGGCAUGAGGAGGACACUUUGAGGGCCCGACAGCUAGAGCUAGAGCAGCAGCUAGCUAAUGCUGAGGAGUACAAUGAGAACUUGCAUGAGGAGAUCCACCAGCUGCAUAACCAGCUCCACCCUCACCACCUGCCUGGAGCAGCAGAGCUAGACUCUGAGGACGAGAUGGACGCGGAUCCCGAGAUCGGAGCAGCUGCAAGUGGAGAUGAGGAUGAGGAUGGCUCCGGCAUGGACAGUGACCAUAGCGAGUAGAUACUAGGGCUCUAGAGCUAGCCCUUCUUCUUGUGUUGUUGUAUGUUGCAUGGCAUGUCGUGUACUUUUGGAUCUGGGCUAUGUAAGACUUUAUGAGUAAAUGCUGAAAGUCCAGUGUAUGUAUGCUGGCAAGUUGGAUGUACGCGAAUCUUGUUGCGUGAAUGUUGAGUAAUCUGUUCGUGAUGUUGUGCGUAGAUGAUGAAUUGUUGUGACCCUGUUUAUUGUGCGAAUUUAUUCCCUCAGUAAAUUCAGUGCGGCAUGAUUCUACACAUUUCUACCGUUGCUGGCAACUCCUAACGAUUGCUUAUCAUUGACGUAUGCAGAUGGUGCAAACACGUGGCGGGGGUAACAGCAAUCCGGGCCUUGGAGCAGGUACAUCCGGAGGUGGGGCUCCACGGAAUGAGGACAGAGUACCAACACCGCCAGCACCACCACCUCCUCCAUACACCGCGGACGUGUUUUUCGCGCAGUUUCUGAGGAGCCAACGCAACAUGGAACAGAUGCAACGCAACAUGGAAGAGGCUCUGCGCAACAUAGCUGACAACACCCGUCGUGGGGAUAACCAGGGCGGCCGUGAAGUCAACCAGUACAGUUCGUUCAAGGACUUCAUGGAUACCAAGCCACCGAUCUUCAAAGAGGCUUUGGAACCGCUCGAAGCAGAUGAGUGGAUCAACACUAUGGAGCAGAAGUUUCGUCUUCUCCGAAUGAUAGAAGAACUUAAGGUUGAGUAUGCGGCGCAUCAGUUGCAAGGACCCGCCGGGAAAGCUGUGGUCCCAUCACCGUACCACCUACCCAGAGGGGACCCCAAUUACCUGGAACCGUUUCACCACAGCUUUUCGGGGAAAUUACAUUCCUCCGGGUGUGAUUGAAAUGAAGGUUGGGGAGUUCAUGAGGCUGUCCCAGGGGACGAAAUCGGUAAAGGAGUAUCUACAUACUUUCAAUAAUCUCGCUCGCUAUGCCCCUGAGUUUGUAAACACGGAGGCUAAGAAGAUUGCUAGUUUCCAGAGGAGUUGAAUCCAAAGAUGCUGAAGACCAUGGGUACAGGGGCCAGGGCUACCUUCAAUGCCUAUAUCAGUGACUGUCUGACCCAGGAGAACAAUAACAACAACUACAGCGCAUCCAAGUCACGUAAGAGGGCUUUUGAAGCCGGAUCAUCUCAGUCCAGGGCACCAGUGGUAGGGCGACAGCAGUAUCGUCCUCCUGCCCCAGGUGCUAGGUUCCGACCGCCGCAAAGAAGGAACACCGGGCAUCCAACACAGUAGAAGCCGUACAAGGUGGCGAUAGCUCCUGCCAAGCCAAAGGCAAUUCAAGCUGCCGCACCUGCCGUCAACAAUGCGCCCAAGGGUCCGUGCUAUAACUGCCACAAGAUGGGGCACUUUGCUAAGGAAUGUCCCUACCUCAAGAGGCAGCAGCCAACCUAUCCAGCUCGUGUGCACCAUACCUCGAUCGAGGAGAUCCCGGAAGGAGAACCGGUAACAGCUGGUAUGUUUCCUGUCAACCAACAUCUCGCAGUUGUUUUGUUUGAUUCUGGAUCAUCGCAUUCAUUCAUGAGCCAAGCAUUUGCACAAAAGCAUGAUCAGUCAGUUAUUGAGUUAGGUUAUGGCUAUCGCAUCAGCUCAGCCAGAGCCGAUGUGUUGACUAAUAAAACAGUAACAGGAGUUACUUUGGAUAUCAGUGGCCGGAGGUUUCGUGUAAACCUUGUGGUCAUGCCAGGACUGGUUUUGGAUGUCAUCAUUGGAAUGAACAAGAUGACUGACUGGGGCGCGGCUAUAGAUGCCGGGAAUAGAACUCUUUCCCUCAGAGACCCACAAGGGAAGGGUGUGCUUCAGGUCAAGCUACCCAGAUGGUUGGACUUCGCCAGUCUUUCGUGUGCAGUACAAGUAGUUCCACUAGAACACAUACCCGUGGUAUGUGAGUUCCCUGAUGUGUUUCCUGAGGAUUUACCAGGACUUCCCCUAGAUAGGGAAGUGGAGUUUGCAAUCGAGUUGAUACCGGGUACAGCACCUAUGUCUAGAAGGCCGUAUCGGAUGCCACCAAACGAACUCGCUGAGUUGAAGAAUCAACUAAAAGAAUUACUGGAUAAAGGGUUCAUCCGGCCAAGCUUGUCGGAAUGGGGUUGUCCAGCGUUGUUUGUGAAAAAGAAGGAUCAGUCAUUGCGCAUGUGCGUGGACUAUCGUCCACUCAAUGCAGUGACAAUUAAGAAUAAGUAUUCUUUACCAAGGAUUGACAUCCUGUUUGAUCAGUUGUCCAAGGCAAGAGUGUUUUCUAAGAUAGAUUUGAGGUCUGGAUAUCACCAAUUCAAGAUUCGUCCGCAAGAUAUCCCGAAGACUGCUUUUUCCACCAAAUAUGGGUUGUAUGAGUAUCUUGUCAUGUCCUUUGGAUUGACAAAUGCUCCUGCAUACUUUAUGUAUCUGAUGAAUUCGGUCUUUAUGCCAGAAUUGGAUAAGUUUGUUGUGGUGUUUAUCGAUGAUAUCCUGGUUUAUUCAGAAAAUGAGCAAGAUCACGCCGAACAUCUGAGAGUUGUGCUGACACGAUUACGAGAGCAUCAGUUAUAUGCCAAGUUCAGCAAGUGUGAAUUCUGGUUAAAGAGAGUUCCUUUCCUAGGGCACAUUCUGUCUGAAGAAGGGAUUGCCGUGGAUCCAUCCAAAGUGCAAGAGGUUAUGGACUGGAAGGCACCAACUUCUGUCUCGGAAGUUAGAAGUUUUCUUGGUCUGGCCGACUAUUAUCGUCGUUUCAUACCUGACUUCUCCAAGAUUGCUAAGCCAAUGACAAGUUUGCUACAAAAGGAUCAUAAGUUUGUCUAGACGGAAGGGUGUGAGUUAGCCUUCCGCACCUUGCGAAAGUUGCUAACCACUGCCCCCGUUCUGGCACAACCUAAUAUAGAAAAGCCGUUUGAUGUGUUUUGUGACGCAUCGAAGAGUGGCCUGGGGUGUGUGUUGAUGCAAGAUGGCAGGGUGAUAGCUUAUGCUUCCCGACAGUUGAGAAAGCACGAAGUCAACUACCCAACGCACGACCUCGAGUUAGCCGCAGUAGUGCACGCUUUGAAGAUUUGGAGACAUUAUCUGCUGGGAAAUAAGUGUCACAUUUAUACCGAUCAUAAGAGUUUGAAGUAUAUCUUCACUCAGUCCGAGCUAAAUAUGAGGCAACGACGGUGGUUAGAGUUAAUCAAGGACUAUGAUCUGGAAGUUCACUAUCAUCCGGGCAAGGCUAAUGUGGUAGCAGAUGCGUUGAGUCGUAAACCGCACUAUCAAGUGGUUCAACCGUUGUUUGAAGAUGGGUUCAACCUUAUGCAUCCUGAGGUCUUAUGUCACAUACAACUCAGUUGUUCACUCGAGAGUCAAGUCAUUGAAGGACAGAAAACAGACAAGGGUAUUUUCCACAUCAAAGAGAAGAUCAAAGAUGACCCAAAAACUCAAUUUCGAGUUGAUGAGAAAGGGGUACUGUGGUUUCAACAUCGGUUAGUAGUUCUGAAAGAUCGGGAAUUGAAGAAUCGCAUCAUGGAUGAAGCUCAUCUCUCUAAGCUUUCUAUUCAUCCUGGCAGUAGCAAAAUGUAUCAAGAUCUAAGACCCCACUUUUGGUGGACCAAGAUGAAGAAAGAAAUAGCCGCAUAUGUAGCCCGUUGCGACACGUGUUGCAGAGUUAAGGCCAUCCAUAUGAAGCCUGCAGGUCUGUUACAACCAUUAUCCGUUCCAGAGUGGAAAUGGGAAGAGGUCAGUAUGGACUUUAUCACGGGUUUACCAACAACAAGGAAGGGGAAUGACUCGAUUUGGGUCAUCAUGGAUCGACUGACCAAAUCGGCCCAUUUCAAUCCUGUGAAGACCCGCUACCGACCUCCUGAGUAUGCCGAUAUAUAUAUGGCUGAGAUUGUCAAGUUGCAUGGUAUUCCCAAGACCAUCAUAUCAGAUAGAGGACCGCAAUUCACCGCUCACUUCUAGGAGCGCAUGCAUAAGAGUUUGGGAACCAGUCUGAUAAGAAGCACGGCGUACCAUCCCCAGACUUCGGGUCAAACAGAAAGGCUAAACCAAGUAUUAGAAGAUAUGCUGAGGGCCUGUGUGCUAUCGUCCAAGGGAUCAUGGGAGUCAUGGCUACCUCUGGCUGAAUUCUCCUACAAUAACAGUUAUCAAGAGAGCAUCAAGAUGGCCCGGUUCGAAGCUCUGUAUGGUCGGAGAUGUAGAACUCCGUUGAACUGGGUUGAACCGGGUGAAAGAAGAUACUAUGGUAUCGACUUUGUGAAUGAGGCAGAGAAGAAGGUACAAAUCAUACAGCAGCAUAUGCAAGCAGCACAAUCACGACAAAAGAGUUAUGCCGAUAAGAGAAGGAGGCCACUUGAAUUCAAUAUAGGUGACUAUGUGUACCUCAAGGUUACGCCAAUGAAGAAAGUUCAAUGUUUCCGAGUUCGAAGCAAGCUUGCACCCAGAUAUGUGGGACCGUACCAAGUGCUGGAGAGGAAAGGCCCAGUGGCCUACAAGAUCCAGUUACCUGAAGAGUUGAGCUCGAUCUUUCCGGUCUUCCAUGUGUCGCAACUGCGGAAAUGUCUGAAGGUACCUGAACAAAGAAUUGAACCUCGAGGAAUCAAGAUAAAAGCAGACCUAGAGUAUAAAGAGCAGCCAGUGGGGAUUGUGGAUACCAAGGAGCGAGUAACCCGAAACAAAAUUGUCAGAACAUAUAAGGUGGUGUGGAGUCAUCAUGACGAUAGGGAUGCCACCUGGGAAACAGAGGAUUACUUGAAAACAGUUUAUCCAAAAUUUCAUAAGAAAUGGUUAGUAAUCCAAAAUCUCGGGACGAGAUUUCCCUAAGGGGGGAAGGGCUAUAACACCCUAGGUGUUAAGCAUGCACUUAGUCUUAUCAAAGUCAUGCAUAAGCAUUCCCAUCAAGCAUAAGCAUCAUGAGCAUGUCAUUCUUUUCAAAAUAUGAUUUUAUGUGCUUCAUUUCAUGAGUUUUAAAUAUGCUAAAAAUAUGAUGCUUGCUUCUAAAAAUGUGAAAUAUUCAAACUAGGUCGAUUUAUGUGUAAGAAGAAUUAAGAACAUUUUUGUGAAAUUUUUGGAGCUAUAGAAUUUGAGAAAUGGAAUUUAUACAAAAUAUCCAAAAUGAAUUUAUUUAAAAACCUAGAACUAGGUUUUAAUUUGUAAUUCAAAUUCUACUUAGAAUUUGGUUUUGCUUAUUAAAACAAAGUUGUAGAAAUUUUGUUUUGGAACAACUUUACUUUUGGGAGAAAAUGGUGAAAAUGAUUGGAAAAUGGUCAAAAUGAAUUUGGAAGAGCAUUUAAGAAAAGAAAUUCAAAAAAAAAGGGAAAAGGGGGCGCUAGCAGGCCGCGGCCUCACUUCUGGCCCGCUGGCCGAAGCCGGCCCGGCCCGCCCGCGCCUUCCCCUUCCCCUUCCCCUUCCCCGCGCUCGCGCUCGCGUCCGCGCGCGGACGGCCUCGCCGUGCCGCCGUGGCGCGCCGGUAGAGCCUGGCCGCCGCGUGGCGGGCAUGCGACGGCGUGGAGAAGCCCUCGUCGGCCACCAGGAGCCCCCGGUCGCGUCCGCCGAAGCCCCCACUCCCAUUUGCGCCCUCCACCUCGCGCUCUCGCCCCUCUGCUCGCUCUCGCGCAGCACUCGCCGCUCCGCCGCACGCCAUAGCCGCCGACGGCUCGGAGCUCCUCUCCCGGCCAGCUCCGGCCCUCUCCUUCCUCUUCGCGACCACCACCGGAUCCGCCUCGUCCUCCCGCGUCGCGUGCUUGCGCUCUUCCGCGCUCGGUGAGCCCCGCGUGCCUGCUAGAGCUCACCGGAGUGAGUCGGAGCUCCGGCGACCUCUCGGCUCGUACGGUUCUCCCUCUCCUCUCUGUCUCUGCUUACGUUCGUAGGUGCGUUGGAUCCGCCUUGGCCUUGCGCACCUUUUUCCGUCGUUAGCUUACGCUCUACCGCCGUGAAAAGGCCGGACCACGGCGAGCAGCGCCGCCGCGUCCGCCAUUCGCGACGGCGAGGUAGUUCCAGUGCUCGUCCGGUGCCAAAGAGGGUACGGUUGGACUCGUCUCGUUCUCGCGAAGCCGUAGGUGCUCUCGGUGUCGCCGGAAACCUCACCGGCGGCGAGAUUCCGGCUGAUCCGUGGCCGCGGAAUCACGGGGUGGAUGACAAGUGGGGUCAUCUGACCCGCGUGUCCCACCUGUCAGUGAGUCCGAGGGUUUGAACCCGGGUGCGCUUAGCGUUUUAGGUUGUUUUCCGUUUUAAAAGUAUUUUCAGAAAAUGGGUUAUGUAUUCAAAAAUCCAUAUCUUGAGGAAUAUAGCUCCAAAAAUUGUGAAAUAAAUUUUGGUGUGUUCCCUGUUUCCAGAUCUAUAGCCUAGUAUGUUUGCAUGUCAUGUUUAAGUAACUUUUCUGUAUGAAUAUACUUAAUCCAUGUUUUUGCUAAACUUGGAAAAUGCACAAUAAUUAAAAUAUGACUCAGAAAAAUAUGAAACUUGUUUUAUGGGCUUUGCAUGUAUGUUUACUCACUGGAAAAAUAUUUCUACAUAUUAUUUGGUGUAUAAAUGAAUUUAUGGUAAUUUAAAUGCUUGCAUGGCAGUGAUUUAUGAUUUUUAAUAAUUAAUUGGAUCAUGCAAUAAAUCUAGAAAAUUUUGUGGGUGUUUCUUAUGAUAUUAGACAAAUUGUAAAAAUAUGAAAUCUGUUGUUUGACACUUAUAUCACGGUAGAGUGAUUAUACUUACCCUAUAAAUUAAUCUUGUGAUUUUUGUGGCUCAAAAUAAGUAUCCAAAAAUUAUGAAAAAUUUACAGUAGACUUUAUGCUUAGCUGGUAGUCUCCUGUAAUUUUUAUGGAAAUUAUUGAUGAACAGAAUUGCAUGUGAUUUUUAAUGGGCCUAGAAAUAAAUAAAGAAAAUUAUAAAUUGUUGUAUAUAUAGGUUGGAUGGAAUAAGUUGGGUUUGGUGUAUCUUUGAAGCAUCAUGUGGGUCGCUGGUUGCAUUUGAAAAAUAAUUAUAGAAGAGAAUGCAAUAGAUGUUUGAUUCAGUUAAUUGCUCUUGGAGGUUGUUGACUACCUUGUAAUGAGCAUGACCAAGCAUAUCACUUAUGCGUCAUGUCAUGACUCCUUUAGUACCUUCUCAUACAAGCAUCCACUCGGGCAUCUCGCACUCCACUCAUAAGCACACCUGCAUCAUACAGGCUCGCAGGAGAACGAAGUGGGACCCGAGGAGCCAAAGGAGAUUCAGGAGCAGGAACCUCCGGAAGCACAGGAACCCGGAGAGGAACUGCAGGAGUGUCCAGAUCACCGACCCAACACAUUUGAGAAAGGCAAGCCCCGAAGCAUUCUAAAUCUCCCUAUUCUCGCUAACUUAUACAAAGCACUAUACUUGUUCUACUAUAUUGCAUUUAAGUGAUAGGAAUUGCUUGAUACCGUUGAUGCAUAUGUACUCCUUGUUACCCUUACGCGUUCACCUACCUUGUCCUAUGUAGAUAGGCACGGAGUCUAUGCUUAGCUUGCUUAGUCCGGUAGAAGUCGGGUGAUUUCCUGUCACCUGCGAGAUAUAGGUGGUUACCUGCUUGAUUAAGCAUGGAUUGCUUGGGGAAAAGAAUAACCAAGUGUGGAAUGUAACUGGAGACCGGGCAGGGUCUUAUAGUGGGUUGACCAUAGUGCCCCUGCCUGUGUCGAUUAAGGACCGAUCGUUGACGGACCUCUUGUCAUGUUGAACGCAUGCCCCACAUUUAGCUGGAAGGAUAAGUCGUUCCGACCGCGAAGCUUGAGCACUAUCCGGACCGGGAAUCGGCCCGAUGUACGCGCUGUAUUGGUGAUGGUUGAGGAGAACGACGAGGGCGCGGCACGCAACCUUGGUAUACCUUGGAUACCUCGGUCGCCGAAACGGUCCUCGGGUACUGGCGGUGCCUGUCGAACCCGCGAAUUGGUCCUGGAUAGUGCAAUACGGUGACCUGUAGCUCACUUGAUCAGUGAGUGUGGUUUGUGUGGGGAAUAAACUCGCCAGCUGGUUAGAAAUCGAUUCGAAUCGCCAUCGCUCCUGGAUAGUGAGCACUUGACAUGAGCCCUGUCCUCGUAGUAAGGACUAUGGAACACUUGGGUUAUAAUGAUGAAUGGUUAUAAGAAAUGCUAUGAUGAGGUACUAUCAUAGUCUUAUACUUGCUUGUAAUAGUGCAGGUGCAAACCUAGAUGAUAGGUAAUGAUACUUUCAACUUGAGCAAAUUAAAAGAAGAAAGACUUAUGUAGGUUAUGAUAAUAAAAUCCUGCGGUUUUGCAAAGUGGUUGUCAGCUACCCCACUAUAUAGCCUUCAUGAUCCUUGAUGAGUCUUUAUUUUAAGUUUAUGACGGGUAAGUCUAGCUGAGUACCUUCUCGUACUCAGGGUUCUACUCCCAUGUUGUUUUGCAGAUGGUCAAAUGUACUUUGGUUAUUGCAUCCUCUGUCUGUACCCAGCCAUGGGUGAUGACUAGACCAAGGGCGAUGGUCACUCCAUCUCUUCUUUUGCUUUGGAGGGAAUGACCAAACUAUGGCACUGUAUCAGACUAAGCGCGUGUGUUGUAUUUUCGAACUAUGAAGCUUCCGCUACUUGAAGAACUUGGUUUGUAAUAACUUUAAGUACUCCGAUGUAUUUUAUAAACGUUGUAACCUGGGUGUAAUUGUGGAUGGCGACCGCUAAACUUAUUACGAUCUUGGCUGUUGUACGAUGUGUGGUUUGAAAUCCUUCGAGAUUUCACGGACUACCGGGAUUAUAUGGGCUUAAGCCUGAUGGUUUGACUAUGCAAAUGGUCGCUGUUAGGCUUAAUCUCUUAUAAUUUGGUCGGUUCUGUUACAGCUCUGGAAUAUUUGGAAGACGAGGAAGCAGAUGAGGAACCAGAGGAAGAUCCAGAAAUGACAGUCAUGAUGAAGAAGGAUGAGGACACAGUGAUGGAGAAAAAGGAAGACUCAGACGUGGAGAUGCUAGAUGCCCCACCCCCUGGGUUCACUGCCACAAAAAAGAAAAAGACUCUCAAAAUCAAAGAAAAACUGGAUGAUGAGUUUCUGAGGCGCAGCAAGAGAGUCUCCCAGAAGCUCGGAGGAUUCAAGAAUGAAGAAAGUGCUAAAAAGCAUAAAGAGGAGCAGAAAGGCAUCAAGACUCCUAGGGAGGCACAGAAGAACAAGAAAACCAAGGCUUCUAAGAAGGGGAAGAAACUAGAAGUUGGAGACAAUGCCCUGGAAGAAGACCCCAUCCCCCUUGCUGUUAGCCCACCGGAGGGGGCUCCCCACCUCCCCAAACAUGUACUCGAAGGCAUUGGGGAGGGCUUCCUGCAGAUACAACCUUCGGUCGUGUCUGCUGCACUGCUGGACAAUGACGACCUCGAUGAAUAGAACCCCCAAGAAGUUGGUUGUAGGGCCAUCCAUAGCUAUGGUCUCUUUUGCUUUCUGUUUCGCUUUUGUUGUUCCUAGCCAGUGUAUGUAUUGGCCCAAUAACCACACAAGAUGUAACCGGUGUCUCAUGUCUUUGUGGAACGUGUGGAAACUGAACCUUCUUAUCCAUCGUUUAUUGUUCAAAGUUUACUCAGGUGGCCCUUUUGUCCCUUUCAGAGCUUUAGAUCUGUUCCACUUAAUGUAUCUAUUUGCACUCUGUCUGUUUGACAUUUGCAUGUCCAAACUAACUCCCCCCCACCCGUUGGUAUCCAUGAACAACGAAAGUAACAAUAACAGAUCCAUCAAAAUCCUUUUUUGGAACAUUAGAGGACUUAACUCGCAAGAAAAAUGGGAUGCAGUUAGAGAUAAAAUCAGUGAAAGUGCUUGUCAAGUUUUAUGCUUACAGGAAACUAAGAGGGAAACUUUCGACUAUUUCUAUAUCAAGAGAUUUUGUCCUAAACCUCUGGAUCAGUUUGCUUUCUUCCCAUCGGUUGGAGCCUCUGGAGGUCUCCUCACUGUUUGGAAUAGUAGUAUCUUUGUUGGCUCCAUUGUUCAAAUGAAUUCCUAUGCUAUCACUGUCAAACUAGUAUGCAAACUAGAUAACAAGACUUUUCAUGUCACCAACAUUUAUGGACCUGCAAAUCCUGCCCAGAAGCUUGGGUUUGUCACCUGGCUAAUAAACUUAGAUUCUUCUGAAUUUGAUGACUGGGUACUAGGGGGAGAUUUCAACCUGAUCAGAAACCCAGAGAAGGAACAAGCCAGGUGGAGACAUGGGCGAAAUGAACAUGUUUAAUGAACUUAUCUGUGACCUUGAUCUUGUGGACAUCCCUUUUAGUGGCAGAAAUUUCUCCUGGAGCAACAUGCAGGCUGAUCCCCUCUUGGUCAAACUAGACUGGGUCUUCACUAAUUCCAGCAGGACCCUGUCCCACCCGACAACCUUUGUGCAACCUCUAUCAAGACCCAUCUCAGAUCAUAUUCCUUAUGUUCUGCAUAUGUUCUGAUUUGAAAAUUUUUGGAUAGAACACCCUGGUUUCAUGGACAUUGUAAAACUACACUGGGAUAAUUCCCCUGUCUAUGCAAAUGCAGCCAAAAACCUUUCUAGUAAGUUGAAACAGGUCAGAAGUGGCUUAAGGAAAUGGAGCAAAUCCUUGUCGAACCUGAACAAACUUAUUUUCAACUGUAACUGGGUUCUUUAGCUCCUGGAUGGUCUAGAAGACCAAAGGAACCUUUCCAGACUAGAAAAUUCCUUAAGAAGAUUGGUCAAACAUCAUCUCUCCCAGUUGCUUGACUCCAAGAGAAAAUACUGGAAACAGAGAAGGUCAAACAUCAUCUCUCCCAGUUGCUUGACUCCAAGAGAAAAUACUGGAAACAGAGAAACACCAUAAGAUGGGUUAAGUUUGGUGAUGAAAACACACAGUUCUUCCACUCCCUAGCUACCAUCACUCACAAACGAAACUUCAUAGUCUCUCUAUCUAAUGGUGAGGGUGACCUUAUAACAGACCACGAACAAAAGGCCAUCCUCAUUUGGAAUGCUUUCAGAGAGAGACUUGGAGUCAGUGAUUUUGAAGGUAUUAGCUAUGAGGUUGGAGAACUCCUUCAAGAACAUGACCUAACAGAACUGGAUGUUGAGUUCUCGAAUGAAGAGAUGGACACAGUCAUCAAAACCCUUCCCAACAAUCAUGCCCCUGGACCAGAUGGUUUCAAUGGGUGUUUCAUCAAGAAAUGUUGGAAUAUAAUUAAAGAAGAUUUCUCUAGGACAAUGAAGGAUUUCUGCAACUUUAACACAGACCUAAGCAGUAUCAACACUUCCCUCAUUGUCCUCAUUCCAAAAAAGGACAAUGCUGAAACGGUCAAUGAUUAUAGGCCAAUCUCCCUUCUAAAUUAUUCUCUGAAAUGCAUAACCAAGAUCCUCUCCUCCAGACUACAGUCAAAGAUUCUGCAACUUGUUCACACUAAUCAGUAUGGCUUCAUCAAAGGAAGAACCAUCCAUGACUGCCUUGCUUGGUCCUUUCAAUUCCUUCACCUUUGCCAUCACUCGAAAAAGGAGAUUAUCAUCCUGAAAUUAGACUUUGAGAAGGCUUUUGACAGAGUAGAGCACCAGGCUAUUCUGGAGAUCUUAAAGCAUAAAGGCAUUUCUGAGAAAUGGGUAAGUUGGCUUCAGAACCUCCUAAGUACUGCCAGCUCUGCUGUUCUCCUAAAUGGUAUACCAGGAAAGAAUUUCAAAUGCAAAAGGGGAGUAAGACAAGGAGAUCCCCUCUCUCCCCUUCUCUUUGUUCUAGCAGCUGACCUUCUCCAGUCCAUCAUAAAUAAAGCUUGGCAAGCUGGCAGCCUAAAGCAUCCUCUCAGUGAUGACUUCCAAGAUGAUUUCCCUAUUGUGCAGUACGCUGAUGAUACCCUCCUCAUCCUCCCUGGUGACGCCAGAUCUCUUUUCUGUCUGAAAGGACUACUAAGAUCUCUCGCUGACUCGACUGGACUGCACGUUAACUUUGACAAAUCCUUUAUGGUGCCAAUCAAUAUGAGUCUAGAAAGAGUCACUCACCUAGCCAAUACAUUUGGCUGUCAGGUUGGAGAAAUGCCGUUCACAUAUCUCGGACUCCCUCUUGGAACGACAAAACCAUCUAUCACCGAAUUUGCCCCCCUCAUUACCAAAAUGGAAAGAAGACUCACAGGUAUCAGCAAAUUCCUGUCCUACAAUGCCAGACUUAUAUUAGUGAACUCUGUCUUCUCUGCCUUACCAACAUUUUACAUGUGCACCACAAAGCUGCCCCCAGUAGUUAUCAAGCAAAUUGAUAUCUACAGAAAACAUUGCCUUUGGGACAAAGGAGAAAUAAAUAGGAAAGGAAAAUGUCUAGUAGCUUGGGAGACUGCCUGUAAACCCAAAGAUCAAGGGGGCCUGGGUAUCAUUGACAUUCAGAAACAAAAUGAAGCCCUGUUACUAAAAUUCUUAGAUAAAUUUUAUAACAGAGCAGAUCUACCAUGGGUCAAGCUAACAUGGAGCAAACUGUAUGCAAAUGAGUCCAUUCCUCCACAUGCAAGAAGCCCUGUCGGCUCCCCCUGGUGGAAAGACAUAAUGAAACUCUUUCCAAUUUUCCAAAAUAUCUCCAUUUGCACACCCAAUAAAGGAAACUCAAUUCUCCUUUGGUCAGACAAUUGGAUGGAUCAAACAGCAAAGGACACAUUUCCACAACUUUAUUCCUUCACUAGAAAACCCAAAUGCUCCAUAAAGCUCUUCCUCAACCAACCAUUGGAGUUUUUAUUCAGUCCCCUACCUCUACCGCCUAUUGCUGCAGAUCAGCUUGAGGAACUUCAAACUAUCAUACACAACAGACACUGGGACGUGAACCUCAAUGAUAUCUGGUCCUACAAUUGGGGAACUUCAAACUACAGCAGUAAGAAAGCCUAUGCCCUUUUCAUCAAAUCUACCCCUGACUAUCCACUCUUCAAAUGGCUCUGGAAAUCAGGCAACCUGGGAAACCAUAAAUUCUUCUUCUGGUUGCUGUUGAGGGAUCGUCUGAACACCAGGAACCUCCUAUGCAGAAAACACAUGCACCUGGAUGACUAUACAUGUUUGAUGUGCUCUCAGGGGUGCGAAGAGACCAGUUUUCACUUAUUUUUUGAAUGCAGCUUCAGUAAAGAAUGUUGGGAGACAAUCCCCAUUUCCUGGGACUUCAACCUCAAUCCUGUGGACAUGAUUGUACGAGCAUGCUUACAAUUUGGCAACCCCAUCUUUAGAGAAAUCCUCAUUACUGCCUGCUGGAUCAUCUGGAACACAAGAAAUGGCAUUAUAUUUGACCAUGGUCAGAAGAAUAUACAUGUAUGGAAACAACAGUUCAGAGAGGAAAUUGCUUUAGUUUGUAACAAAGCAAGACCCAGUGUUAGCUCUGCCCUUAGUAGCUGGAGAGAGUCUUACUUGUAACAUUCUUGAUUUUUCUGUUUUGGGCGUGCGGCCCUGUAAUCUUUGGCUCCUGAUUUUGUAACGAUUCCUUUAUUUAUAUUGAAAUACAAAAAAAAGGGGUGGGAAGCUCCCCCACCAUUUCAUCAAAAAAAAAAACAUGCCAGGCAACACAUUAAUAAUUUCUCCCUACUGUUCCAGAAGCAAGCAAAAAGCCAGCAGCAAGGAAUAUUCAGCUAUAGCUCAAGAAAAGGUCUUAAUUCUUUACUAAGAAAAGGUCUUGAUUCUUUACUAAGACAAGGCAAGAAAUUAUUUCAGUAGAAGAAAAUGUUGCUUGUCAAUGUUGUUGUAAGUUCAAAUUUUAGAUUUGUGAUACAAGUUAAAAGGUUACCGAAUUAAGUGGAAAAUAUGAAUUAUUAGAGUGGUGCUAGCUGCAAAACCUAAAUGGUCACUCUAAUUAAGUGCGAUAUAGGUUUUUUCCUAAUAAUACAAUACUCUAAUUUUGCCAUGCUAAGAGAUUAAAUACAUUGACUACACUGAGUAUAACUAGUAUAUUGCCCGUGCUAACGCUACGGCGACUGUUCAAUUAUGUUCAAAUUAAAACCAGGUCUCUUUGACAUAGAGGCCACCAAUUUAAUUAAGAGAUGAUCAGUAGAUCACUCAAAACAUUGCCUAUAUUUUGACCUUGGUUAUUACAGUCCACAAGACCUCACACAGCUGCCUCAGAUCCGCGCGCCAACAGACCUCACAUCGAGGCAUUGCCGCUCCAUGGUGCAUCAGCUAGCGCCGCCGGUCACCGCGGCUCAGCCAUACACGCCGCACCCCGCCUUCUCCGCCUGCUACGCAGGCCACACCUUGCCUAGCCACGGGCUGCCGCGGCGUCGACGCCUCAGCCUAGCCCUAGCGCGCAGGUUAGCAACGUGUUGGCAGCGACGGUGGCCUCCCCAGCUUCGCGCCCCAUCCGCCACGGCUCCCCACGACCAGAAAAGCAGCAACAUUCAUUAAGUAAACUUAAAGUUAGUGCAGGGAGAGGGACCAUACCUUCAAGGUUGAUCUCCAUAUUUGUGCUGUGAGCUUCAAGUUGGUAAUGACAACAGCCUUCGUGAAAUGUGUCAAUGCUGCCAAAGAUAACAUAAUCACCAAGCUGCUAUACCAACGAUGUGUAAAAAAAUGUUCUCCGAACUAUCUAGACACAGAAACAACAAUAGCUACUGAAACACUGAAACUGAAACUAAGAAUAAGUGCUACUGUCGAACACUGUCAGAGCAAGAGAGUUAAUCAACUCAAAGUUUCAAUUGCAGCACAGAAUCACUAAAUUAAUAAGGUAAUGCAAAUUAAAAUAUGCAAAUGAUUACUUGGAGAAUAAUGACAGUAGCAAGAAAGUCUGAACCUUUGGUGAAAAGGUGCUACAAAUUACCUGCUUGCCUGAUGGACUGCUUCUUUCUCCCAUCAUUGCUCCCUGCCGAGGUGACCAGGACAUGCUGCAAAUGGAUUAAUGUGCUGCUGAACGGAACAAGUUACACAACUGUUAAACUUAAGAACUACUACAACAUAUCCAGAGAAUAAAUUAGACAAGAUAUUCAGGGAAGCACAAGUUGCAUCAGCAAGCACCGAAGAAAAGAAUACCUGUACCUGAUCGCUGAUCCACUGUCAAGAAGAAAAGGCGCCAUCCCCUGGCCCAUAAGCCAUCGUUUGGAUCUCCAGUGCUCCUCGUCCUCCAUGGCCACGCCCCCGGUGUGUAUAUAUGGCCAUCGGGCCGUGCCGGCCCGACAUGCCACCGGGCCACAUCGGGCCACCGGGCCUCACGGGCCAUGCCUGUGGCGUGCCCGUGCCGCGCCUACGGCCCAAGGCACGGUCCGUGGGCCGUUUUGUCGGGCCGUGCCGCCCGGUGAGCCCGGCAAAAUCCACCGGACCGUGCCGGCCCACAGCCCGAAGAACAUACUGGAAUGCUGCCUUCUCAUUCAUCAGUGAUUAGCUAACACACAAAAGAAUACAGGAUUUCCAGAUUCACAGAUCAAAGAACAUGACAGAUUAAAGAGAUAAAAUAAUUAACUUUACUGAGCUGUUUUGUGCAAUGCUGCCUCAUUAAAAACCUUGCUAGGUAAAACUCACCCUUGUGAGAAACCCUAGCAAGGGAAAAAGAGUGCAGCUAGCUCCAAAAUGUGAAGUGUUCAGGACUUUAGGCUAUCCUAUUACAAAAUGCCAACUGCCAACUCAAUGUUUCAAGACUCCAUGUCUAUCACUCAUUCACUCUAUCCUAUUAGGCUAUUACAAGAUCAACUCAAUGUGACCAACAAUCUCAGACUUGAAGUUGAAGUUGCAGUGCAGACACCACACCAGACAGCCAGACUUCAAAAGAGCAGACCAAAAGCUCCUGCUGUCCUGCACAAUGUAAACAGGUUCUUGUCAAAUUCUUACUCAUUCUAAUAAGCUAAAUAUCUAAUUGCAUCAAUCUAAAGUUCUAAACUGAUGUCAAAUUCUUACUCAUAUUCUAAACAAAUGUACUGCCGCUGCCGCUGCCAUUUCCGCUGCCGCUGCCGCUUCCUUGAGCUUGACCUUGUUCGUCCAGGUAGAGGUUCUUGAAUGCAUCUACCAGGUCAAAGUCUUCAGGUGUGUGCUGCUCCCUUGUUGCUCCUAGCUCCCAGUCCUUGAUGCAUGUGAGCAUUUCCACAUGCUCAGGCAACAAGCGACGGCGCCGAUCCUCUAGUAUCCUGGAGGUACAACUGAAACACGACUCGGAAGAAACAGUAGACACAGGGACAGACAUGAUAUCUCGAGCCAUAAUAGAUAGGAUUGGAUAGGUAAGCUUGUGAUCACGCCACCAAAGGAGUAUGUCAAAGGAUUCCUCAUAGCAUGUGACAGGGUCACUGUCUAGGUAAGCACUGAGCUCACUAACAGCAGAUGGAGUAGAAGAGGAUGUGGGGGAGCAGGCAGGAGAGUCACCAGGACCUCCAAAGAUCCUUCCCCAUGCCUGUUUUCGCUUACCAGCAUGAGCUGAAGGGACUGCAGGCCUCUAAGACCUAGCUGCACCAAAUUUAUCUUCAUACUUGCCAAACAUUUUAAACAUUUCAUCUUUGACUUCACCAUAGUACAAACUAUAACUGCACCAAGUUGCCUUACCAAGCAGAUCAAGUACAUUAUAGAAACCUUUCAUCUUAGCUCUAGGAUCAAGAAUGAAUGCAUAUGAAUAAAUGAGUGGGAUUUUCUCCCAAUAUUUAAGGAACUUCAGUUUCAUAGGAGUAGCAAUGCUUCUGAAGCCUGUAUCUUUUUCAGCUUCUUGCAAAUGCUCAGCAAUGGCAAGCAAAUGGUGCAAAACAAGUGGAGCAGUUGGAUAAUAAACACCAGACAAAACAACAGUACAAUCAUAAAACAGUUCCAGGAAUGCCAUGAUUUGCUCAACAUUAUGCCAAUGUUGUGGAGUCAACAAAGUAGAACCAUAAUUAGAGUUAAUGAACACAUUGAAUACUUCCUUGUAUGGCAGCAAGUGCUUGAGCAUCAAGUAAGUAGAAUUCCAUCUAACAUCCAUAUCUAAGCCAAACUUUCUAGGUCUAAGACCUUGAGCAUUGCAGUAAUUCUUAAACAGAGCAAUUCUUUGAUUAGAGGAAUUUAAAAAGUUGAUUGCAGUUCUGAAAUCUUCAAGAUAAGUUUUUACUCUCUUGAAGCUAGUUUUAACAAUCAAGUUAAUGAUGUGGCAUGCACAGCGUUGAUGCACAAGCAAGUAUUUCACUUUGUUUGGAUUCUCUCUUGUAGGUGCAGGUUAAGAACCCAAAUAACCAAAGAAAACAGGUUGCAGAAUCUCAUGAGCUCUAGUAUUAGCAGAAGCAUUGUCAAGAGACACAGAAAAAAUCUUAUCCAUCAAACCAAACUCAUCAACAACACUAGCAAUCCUAUCAGCAAUAUUUUCACCAGAAUGUUUAACCUCAAUCAAACGAAAACAAACAACUUUCUUUUGUAACUCCCAGUCUUUACUAACAUAAUGAGCAACAACAGAAAUGUAAUCCUCCUUGGCAUUACCAGACCAAAUAUCACAUGUCAAUGAAACAGAGGAUGCAGCAGGCAACACAUUUUUCAUAAGCAAAGUACGCUCUUCAUCAAAGAGUUUAGACAUAUCUCUAGUGGUGGUCUGCCUAGAAACCUUCUCAAAUAGAGGAUUAUGAGCACGUCUUAUAUAAUCCUCCCAAGCCUGUGUCUCACCUAUCCCUAAAGGAAGGUCUAACCUAGCAAUCAAACGACACAACUCAAUGCGAGCAACCAUAGGAUCAUAAACCCAGUUUUUCAAACCAUCAGGAUUUAGAGCAAGUUUAGACUGGGUCAUUUUAGCAUGAUUCUGUUUUUUCAUACAGGAUCUCAUGUGUCGUCUCAAAUGACCAGUACCAUUACCAGAUCUAGCAGUGUACUUCGAACGACAAUGCUUACAUAUUGCAGCAAUUCUAAUCUUGCGGCAUAUGCAUGGAGUAUUAAAUUUAGAUGAAAACAAAAACUAAUACACAGUAUGCCUAUAAAUCACGAGAUGAAUCUUUUGACUCUAAUUAGUCUAUGAUUGGAUAAUAUUUGCCACAAACAAACGAAAGUGCUACAGUACCCAAAAUCCAAAAUUUUUGCCAACUAAACAAGGCCGAUGAGGGCCUUGUUUAGUUCAAAAAAAAUUUGGAUUUCGGUACUAUAGUAUUUUGAUUUUUAUUUUGACAAACAUUGUCCAAUCUUGGACUAACUAGGCUCAAAAGAUUCAUCUCGUGAUUUACAGACAAACUGUGCAAUUGGUUUUUGUUUUUGUCUAUAUUUAAUACUUCAUGCAUAUACCGCAAGAUUCGAUGUGAUAGGAAAUCUUGAAAAGUUUUUGGUUUUUAUGGUGAACUAAACAAGGCUAAGGUUUUGUUUCCGAGUCACUAAGGCCUUGUUUAGUUGGGUAAAAAUUUUGGCUUUGGAUACUGUAUCACUUUAUUUUGUAUUUGACAAACAUUAUUCAAUCAUAGACUAACUAGGCUCAAAAGAGACAUGUCACAUAAUUCGCAUUACUGACGUGGCAAUGUUCUUUGCAAAUUAUCUAAAAAUAAUUCAAUAAAUAUUCUAUGAUAUAUAAAUAUACCUUAUGACAUAUCAAAUAUCGUCACUACAUGUUGUGACAUACAAAUAGACCUUAUGGCAUAUCAAAUAUCGUCACUAGAUGAAACUGGAUUAGUUAUAUGACAUUUGUUGUGACAUACAAUUUUUUUUAUCAUUAAGUCAAGGUGUCUAAAAUAUAAUACCAUAAAACAGAUAAUAUAAUGACAUUAUGGAAUUUGUCAUGCUAAAUACGUCAAAAAACCACCCACCUCUUGUAGUGUGUAGACGUGGUGUCUAGACUAAGUCUGCCCUUGUGGACUUCUUGUCACACCUGAACAACGCCAACAGCGAAGCGUGACAAGCCUCUGCUGGACAUUAGGAGUUCUCUUCAGUGUGUUGUUAGGCAAGUUGCAAAUAAUAGUUGGCCUCCAUGGUAGCUGCCUAGGGAAGUGUUUCGCCACACCCUUUUCACCUAUCAGCCACAGUAGGAAGGGAGUAAACUCUCAAGUAUACUUAGGAUAGCUUAGACAGAAGCCAAAUACUAGAAAUACCUCUCCACCCAAUCCUGAGCUAUUUGAUCAUCAUCCGACGACUCAAUUGGUCUAGUUAAUCCACUUCUCGUUCCCUGUGAAAAAUACGAUACCUGGAAUACUCGUGGUGAAGUGUUGCAUUGAUCACCGUCCGCUUGCAGUAAAACCAUUUGCCACUUCUGGUGUCACACAAGCACUUCUAGUGUUGUGUGAAGGACUAACAAUCCUAGGUAGUGACGCUAAGAAGAAUCAACACAGCCUCAGGCGCGACAAAGACAAGCUUAAAGCAGAGGUUGCAGCCCUCUAAGAAGUAAUUCAGGGCCUCAACAAUGAAGGGCAGCCUUAGUUGUCUAGUUAUCUAUAAAUAAGGCACAAUUCUGCUAGGUUUGGUUAGUUAAUUAGGUCAGUCGAGUUAUAAACUUUUCUUAGGACAAAGCCUAAUGAGCUAGAGCAAUCGUUAGCUCAGUCGUUAAAGUGUCUGUCAAGUUAUAUAUUAUCACCGCCAUAAAUAAAUAAAGUGCCUUAUCUUUUAUCUACUCUACUCUCUAUUUUUUAGUAUGUGUUUGUCUCCACAUGUUGCGUAGAAAAGUAUACAGGAAAACAAGUGUGGGGGAGGCACACUGCAAUCACGAAAUGAAAAAUUCGACCGAAAAAAUAGUGUAAUUCACAACACAAUCGAACCAAGACCGCGCACAGCAAAGCGGGCCUCACAUUGCCCACUAGUGGGGUCGGGCGACGCCUAAGUGGGGCUGGGCGGCGCCUAAGUGGGGCCGAGCGGUGCCCUGCUCGCCCGCCUUCCCCCUCGCUUCGGUCACGGUCAGGUUUGAGUUAAUUACAGUAUAAUUGCAUACAUCUCACUUUGAAUUGUCAUCUGAAUCAUAAAUCUUUAUAUUUUUAACAAAUAAUAAACACCAUUUAAUCUAUGACUUCAAAAAUAAAGUAUAUAACACUUUUCUAGAGUCAUGAUAAUUGUGAAAUUUAUAGUACUUCAUGAUUGCUUAAGUUAUUGUGGGAAGAAAGAUAGCAAAAUAAUGAGUACUAAAUUCCUGAUAAUCUGUCUUUGGAGAUUUUAUUUCAAAAGGGUAAAAACAAUUAGCUUCGCCUCUCUUUGUAGUGGAAUCAAAUAAUAACCAUAUCAUUCAACUGUUAAUUAUUAUGGCUUUGGUUGAGAGAUUUAUCAUAUUCCUAGUAUCAUAACAUAAAAUGAAAUAAAAAUAUAAUACACUCUCUUGAAGCAUUAUUGUAAAGGAGGCAUGAGCUAUUCAUAAAGAAGUUCAAGGAAAUAAAAUGGGACAAGUGUCCAAAACCUCAAAAACAUAGAUCACGAGGAAAUAAAAUGGGACAAAUGUCCAAAACAUCGAUUCAAUAAGAAAAGAAAUAUGAGCAUGUGCUCAUAAGUAGAAUUAGAGAGCUCAUGGUCCCUCCAACAUAAUAUGCCAAGGAGCGGAUGAUUUUUUUGAUCUAAGAAUAUGAUAGUUCUCUCCCGGGGUAUGAAUAUCAAAUUAAUUCACAACUGUAGAUGCCACUACAAAUAAGAGAAGGUCAAAGCUAUGUUUUAUUUGCAAACUCCACUUACUCUCCAAUAGACAUAAUUAAAGGAAGAGAGUAAUCUGUUUUAAGCUAUCCUACUCCGCAAUCACUACAACAUUCAUGAUGAACACUUUAAUAUUCCAGAAUGCAUGGUAGCUAGACUAGUUUUAUAUAAUUUAAUUUCCAAGUUAUCCAUUAAAUGAUUAUUCUUUAUGAUAAGAACCAACCUUUUUCUCGGGACGAGUAAAAACCUAAGUGUGGGGUUAAUUGUUGACACCUGUUAACCCACAAUAUUUAUUAGCAAUUAUCUCUCCACCAUAUAUGAAUAUCUACUAGAAUAGGGUUAUCACUAACAAUUUUCAUGAGUUUUAGUGAUUUGUGUAUUUUUCAGGGAAGUAUCUAGAAAAGCCUAAAAAGAGGGAUUUAAGUGCUAAUCUGCCAUAAAACUUAUCCACGACAGAAGAUGACACUAGAGGGAUCAGGAAUACUCCAGAAGACACCCGAAGCAACAGGGGGGCCAGCAGCCGCCAAGUGGGCCGGGUGGCCCCAACCUUGCGACGGGUGGCCCCUAGGGUUAGGGUUGGCCGCCCCCCUUCUAGAGUCUUCCUCCACCGCCUCCGAGGAGCCAUCUUGGCCACUUGCUACGUCGGUUUGAUCCAAUGGCACGUAUCCAUCCCACCGGGCUAUAAAUAGAGGGCUAGACCCUCUAGAGGAGGCGAGAUCAAGAGAUGAAAAGUUAGAGCAUUAGAUAGAGAUCAACUAGAUCUAGGCUAGCAAUCAAGAUAGAGAUUAGAGUGAUAGAGUAGAGGAGUAGAGAUUCGGAGGAGUCCCGGCCUGUUGGAGCUUCCUUCGGAGCUAUAUUCAUCUAGAUUCGACUCCCUUGCCCGGAGCUACGUUCUGAGGUACUUUUGUAUUUACCAUUCUGAUUCAAAUAAACAACUUAUUUUUAUUUGUUCUUUGGUUUGCAACUCAUAUUAUAUUGAGUACUUCGAUUUGGGUAGCUCCUAGGUCGGAGUAGUGAUUCGUACCAUAGAUGUGGUAUCUAGGCUAUGGUUGCUUGUGAAUGUUCCCUGAUCAGCUAGACUGUGGUAGCUCGCGUAGGUGACUUUAUAGCUACGUUGAAUCCUCUGUAGUCCACUUCUCGUUGAUUGGAUGGAUAGGCUUAUAGGUGCCUAGUAGGAUAUUACUCUAUUUCUUCUCCUAUUCGGGUUACUUGUCCGAUAAGAUGAUAUUAUACAAAGUUUACCAGUUAUUAGAACAAUAGUACAUUAGCUAUUUCCUCAUUCUCAAUAGUUUUCUAGAUUGAUUGUACCCCCUUAGAUUAAGAGUUAUAGGCUAGGUCAUAAAUCACCUACUGUUCCUUUGGGUUCGAUAUUGAAACUGGGUUGAUCUUGGUGAAGUGCUGCUCAGUAUAUAUCUAUGCGCUUGCGAAAAAUCUGAUUAUAAUUAUUAUUUAGGGUGCAAUUAUUUUAUACCAACAAUGCACAAAGGAAACUUUAGGGUAUUAUGUCUAUAACUGGAUAGAGGGCAAAGUGUUUGUUACUCAAAACAGUGUUUUCUUAGAGAAAGAGUUUCUCAAAAGGGAGAAAAAUGGAUAGAAGGUUUAUCUUGAAGAAGUUCAAGAUGAACCAGUUGGGAAUGACUCUACAAGUGAUGUUAAUAUAGCAGAAUAAGUUGAGACACCCGUGGUAGUGGAAACACCACCACAAUCACGAAUAUCAACAAUACUUUGCAAAUUCAAUGGGGAAUUGUUAUUGUUAGACGAUGACGAACCUGCAAAUUAUGCAGAAGCAAUGAUGGACCUAGAUUCCGAGAAAUGGCAAAGUACCAUGAGAUCCGAGAUAGAUUCCAUGGGAGAAAAUCAAGUUUGGAACUUAGUUGAUACGCUUGAUAGGGUUAGACACAUAAAGUGCAAAUGGAUCUAUAAAAAAGGAUAUGGAUAGAAAUGUUCACGUCUAUAAAGCUUGACUUCUCGCAAAGGGUUUUAGGCAAGUUUAAGGAAUUGACUACAACUAGACUUUCUCACCAGUAGCGAUGCUUAAAUCUAUCCAAAUCAUUCUAGCAAUCGCUACAUAUUUUGAUUAUGAGAUAUGGCAGAUGGAUGUUAAAAUAACCUUUCUAAAUGGAAAUUUGGAAGAGGACAUGUAUAUGAUACGACCCGAAGGUUUUAUUGAUCCUAAUAAUGCUGGAAAAUUAUGCAAGCUUAAGAAUUCCAUUUAUGGAUUAAAGCAAGCAUCUUAGUGUUGGAAUAUUCAUUUUGAUGAAGUGGUCAAAGGAUUUGGCUUUCAUUAGAAUAAAGAAGAACCUUAUGUUUACAAGAAGUAAAGUGGGAGCACUAUUGUAUUUUUAAUCUUAUAUGUGGAUGACAUAUUAUUGAUUGGGAAUGUCAUUCCAAUGUUGCAAUCAAUAAAGACUUCACUGAAUAAUAGUUUUUCUAUGAAGGAUUUAGGAGAAGCAGUAUACAUUUUGGGCAUUAAGAUCUAUAGAGAUAGGUUCAAAAGGCUAAUAGGAUUAAGCCAAGAUACGUACAUGGACAUGGUGUUGAAACGGUUCAACAUGGAACAUUCUAAAAGAGGGUUAUUGCCUAUGUCACAUGGUAUGUGUUUUAGUGAUAAACAGUGUCCUUCAUCAGAUGAAGAGCACAAACACAUGAGUAAGGUUCCAUACACUAUCAUGUAUGGCAUGAUAUGUACUCGCCUAGAUGUCUCAUAUGCUCUAAGGGUUGCGAGCAGGUACCAAGCUAAUCUAGGUGAAAGUCACUAGACACUUGUUAAAACCAUUCUUAAGUACUUGAGAAGGACUAAAGAUGUGUUCCUAAUCUAUGGAGGUGAGGAGGAGCUCAUUGUAAAUGGUUGCACUAAUGCUAGCUUCCAAACUGACAUAGAUGAUUCACACUCUCAAUCAGGUUUUGUGUUCACAAUAAAUGGUGGUGCAGUCAGCUGAAAAAGUUCCAAGGAGGCGACAGUGGCCGAUUCUACAAUAGAGGCCGAGUACAUUGCAACUUCUGAAUCUGUGAAGGUGUUUGGAUGAGGAGGUUCAUCAUUGAACUUGGUGUUUUUCAAAAUGCGUCGAGCUCAUUGAAUCUAUAAUGUGACAACAAUGGGGUGAUUGUGCAGGCUAAGGAGCCUAGGAGUCACCAAAUGAAGAAACAUGUGCUACAGAAGUUUCACCUCAUUCGAGAGUUCGUUAGGCGAGGUGAAAUUAAGAUGUGCAAAAUACAUACGAAUUUGAAUAUUGCAGAUCCUUUGACAAAGGCUCUUCCACAGCCUAAGCAUGAGGCACACCUGAGGUCUAUGUGUAUUAGAUAUCUUAGAGAUUAACUCUAGUGCAAGUGGGAGACUAUUGGGAAUAUGCCAUAGAGGUAAUCAUAGAGAUGAUGAUAUUACAAUUGUAUCCAUGACAUAUAUUAUGAGUUCGAUGAAUAUCUAUUAUAGACAAACUUGUAUCGAUUGAUAAUUAUGUGAAUUAUUUGUGAAAUUCUUUAACUUGUAUGGUUAUUCUAAAGUUAUCCCUAAUUAGAGUUCGUGGAUCAACAAAUGCAUGGUCGUGCUUGGGUUAAGUGUUAACCCACGAGUUGGAACAAAUAUCGUGUGGCAAGGGAAUAACAUGUAUGUGUUUGCAGUGUUUCAUUUGAUAUGAUCUUUACGUGCGUGUAGGAGUUGUCACACCUUGCUAGAGGCCGCUGUAGGGUCGCACGCUUAAGGGGGUAGAAGCCUAAUUCGGGUUGGACCCAAAUUAGACAAGGCUUAGGGUUUUCUAAUUGGGCCUCCAGCUCAGGGCUGAUUAGGGGGCGCCUAUAUAAGAGAGGGAGGGGGCACGGCCAGGGUGAUCUCACGCUAUUAGGUAGCCAACGCCGCUCACCCACGCUCACGCCUAUUACUGCUCGCAGACCUAGCAGUCCGGAGGCAUGACGCUUCUUCGUCACACGUGUGGGAUAUCUCGGAGGUGCUACAUAUGGAGCACAAGACGAACCGUGCAAGAGGCAUUGACGUGGUGGACGACCACACAACUGCAUGGCACUAUUACUAUGCGCAUGAAUACAUCGAGUCGCUUUUGCUGCACCUGCGCGUCUAGUAGUAAACCCGUGAUCUAUAACUAGCAGUUGAUCAUGUUUUAUGAGUUUGAAAUUUUUGUUUCCUAGCUAGCGUAGCGUCCUCAUAAUCCGAUAGCUUUAGCACGGAGAGUUAGAAUCAUAUUCGAAUAGAACGCAUAGACACCUGGUUCUGGUUGAGGUCGAAUCAAAAAGUCUCUGGUGUGUUGAACACGAACUCUAUUAUUUUAUUUUUAUUUACAUUAGAGAUCCUUGUUGAAACUGCAAUUCAAAGUUCCCAUUGUGGACUCCUGACCUCACUGUGAGAAAUGGAGCUCCUGAUCACGCUGGAAUCGAACAAGGUAUGGUUCCCAUUGCUAUUACUCCAGAUUUUUUCACAUGUUAUUUUUUCCUCUUCUUUAAAUUACAAUAUGAAGGAAAGUAACCCCACUGAUCCUUAUGUUACUCACCUAAUGAGGGUAGCACUAGGGGUUACUUGAACAAUGGUACAAUUGAUGGCUAGGAUACUGAGAAGAGUAGUGCCGAGGAAUUUUAAACAUCUCUUGCUUGGGACAAAUUUGUUAAUCUGAAAGGACAGACCCAGUGGCUGAAGCUCCUAAAUGAGUGGGGUCUGGGGAAAUGAAAAAAUAGAGGCAAGCCUUUCCCUCGCAAAAUCUGCGAAGUGGAUGCUUCGAACUUACGACCAAGUGACUCAAUGAGACAGCUCCCACGACAAAUUUGUUAAUCUGAGCACUACAUAAUUCAUUAGCAGCAUGGAAAUAGAAAUCUACCACAACUGCAGUAAUAGCAUGGCGGGGUCAUUAGAGAUAGACUUCAGUAAAUUGUGUCAUUCUUGAACUCCAUGGUAACUGAACCGCAAAAACAAUUGAUAGUUCUUGAACUCCAUGCUAACUGACUAUUAUGAGAUGUUUUUUACAAGUGGCAAAAGCAACUAAUAAUUUGUGUACUUCCUAAACUUCAUGGUAAUUGCAUCUUUGCACAAUCUAAAUUAUAGUUUGGACAAUAUGAAUAUGGAAUGUUAAUUUGAACAAAAUAUAUUGGACUGUAAUUUAUUUUUUGAUGUCUUUACAGAAAAUGGAUAAUAGUGUCGGGCAACUCCACCUAGAAGAUGACACAUAUGUUCUUGAGCCACUCCUCCGAUGCAUCAUGCCUGCCUCUACCUGCAAUGAGCACGAACACAAUGUAGCUGCCGCCACUGCCAUAGUUGUGGUCCAUGGCGCCACUAGACACCUAGGUGUAGCAAGUUGGUAUCAGAAUUGAAUUGAAAUAGAAGCAUAGAAUCAAAAGACACCAGCUUGAUCAGAAAAUUCCCUAGUAUGUUCAACAUGAACUCAUUUUUGGGCCCCCUUUUCCUAUUUGUAUUAGAGAUCUUUGUUGAAACUAAUAUUGAAAGUUGCUAUUGUGAACUCCUGGUCUUACAGAAUAUGAAUCCUAGCCUAGACAGGCCCAAUGAGGCUCUUGAUCUCGCUAGACAUGGACAAGCAAGGUCGGCUUCCUGUUGUUACACUAGGUUUCUUUCAUCGCUACUCUUAUCCUUUAAUUUUAAAAUUUCUAUAAAAUGUGUAAUGGUCCUUUAAAUUAUGUAAUUACAGCUUGUGAUGAUAUGGUGAGUCUAAAGUUGUGCCUUUAUCCCUUAGACAGAUGGGCGUAUAAGAGAGCAAUCAUAUAUUGAGGUUUAAAUAUAGGUAUAAUAAUAGUACAUUGCACGAAUCAUUAAUUGUGCAAAUGAGGAGUUUUUCAUUCUGUUCCCAACUUUUUGACCGCAACGGUGGGGGAGUCCCCUACCUUUUUUUAUUAUUUCAAUUGAAUAAAAGAAUCACUACGAAGGAAAGAGGAAAAAAAUACAAGGCGACAAGCCCAAAAAGAAAGAAAGAAUAAAAAUUACAAGUAGGACUUUUUCCAACUUUGAAGAGCAACGCUUUUUUAGGGCUUGCCUUAGUACAAACCAUUCCAAGUUCAACUUUGAAUUGUCUCUUCUAGAGCUGCAGGUUUCUCUGACUAUUAUCAAAGAUAUUGUUUCUUGUAUUCCAAAUAAUCCAGCAGGCCAUGAUGAAAAUUUCUCUGAAGAUAGCAUUACCAAAGUCUGCCCUUGCUUGGAGGAUCAUGUCUAGAGUGCUGAUAUUUUGUUUCCAAUUGAUAGGAAUGGAUGCCCAGCAGUCCUUGCUGAAUCUGCAUUCGAAGAACAGAUGGAAACUAGUUUCUUCACAGCCUUGACUACAGAGUACACAACUGUAAUCCUCCAGAUGCAUGUGUUUUCCUCUUAAGAGGUUUUUGGUGUUCAGUCGAUCCCUUAGAAGGAGCCAGAAGAAGAAUUUAUGAUUCCCUAGGUUGCUUGAUUUCCAUAACCACUUAAAGAGUGGGGAGGCUAGGGAGGAGUCAAUGAAAGUAGUAUAGGCUUUUUUGCUGCUAUAGUUUGAAGUACCCCAAGAGUAUAUCCAUGUAUCACACAAGGUUUCAUCCCACAUUCUGCUCUGAAUAAUUUCAUGUAGAUCAUCAAGCUAUGUAGCAGCAAUUUGGGGCAAAGGGAGGGGACUAAAAAUUCUGUCCACUUGUUGAUUCAGGAAGAAUCUAAUGGAGCAUUUGGGCUUUCUAGUGAAGGAAAAAAGCUAGGGGAAUUUAUCUUUCAAAGAUUGAUCUAUCCAAAUGUCUGUCCAGAAAAGAGCAGAUUACCUCUAUUGGGUGCACAGGUGGUAAUACCUUAGAAAAUUGGGAAGAGUUUCAUGAUAACUUUCCACCAGAAAGAACCAACAGGGCUCCUUGCAUGAGGAAGGGUGUGGUCAUUAGAGUAUAGCUUGUUCCAUGUUAGGUUGACCCAUGGCAUGUCUGUAUUAUUGUAGAAUUUGUCCAAAAAUUCUAGUAGUAAAGCAUCACUCUAUUUUUGGAUGUCAAUAAUUCCUAAUCCACCCUAACCUUUGGGUUUGCAGGCGGUCUCCUAGGCAACUAGGCAUUUACCUCUUCUGUUGAUAUCUCAUUUGUCCCAAAGGCAGUGUUUCCUAUAAGUGUCAAUUUGCUUAGUGAUUUGCGGUGGAAGUUUUAGGGUACACUUGUAGAAAGUUGGGAGAGCUGAGAAAACUGAGUUGCUAGGAUAAGUCUUCCAUUGUAGGAAAGGAAUUUGCUAAUUCCAGAUAGUCUUCUUUCCAUUCUGGUGAUCAGAGGUGCAAAUUAUGUGAUAGAAGGCUUUGUUGUACCAAGUAGCAAUCCCAAAUAUGUGAAGGGCAUUUCUCCAACCUGACAUCCAAAUGUAUUAACAAGAUGUGUGGCACUGUCAUUCCCCAUGUUAAUUGGUACUAAAAAGGAUUUGUUGAAGUUGACAUGGAGUCCAGUUGAGUCAGAGAAGGAUCUUAGCAACCCUUUCAGAUUAAAGAGUACUCUAGCAUCAUUAGAGAGGAUUAGAAGUGUGUCAUUAGCAUAUUGCUGUUGACACCGUUUUUGGACACGUAUCAGGAAAGGUAAUGAAGCUUGGAUCGGCAGCUAGAAAAGUGACAAUGACCGAUAAAGAAGUUGCCGAUGACCUAUGAUACCGAUGAGAGAAGGAAGAUAUGGUUAAGUCCAGGAACAGUGGAUGAUCGGUGUCGAUGGUUGAUGGUGACGGUUGCCGAUGCCAAUGAAGAAUGAUUUGCCGAUGAUGGUGAAGGAAGACGUGGGAAUCAUUGGGAGGGGACAAUGGUGGUGUGCCGAUCAUCCAGGAUAGAUAAAUUGUUGUUUUCCAUAAUUGUUAGAGUUUAUUUUAUGCACGAGUUCUGUUUAAUUUGGAAUUAGAAUCCUAGUCGUACCUGGUUGUAACUCUUUAGGACAGAGUAUAGAUAUAGGCCUAGUAGCGAUGUAAGAGCAGAUCCAAUCAAUGCUAUACACAACUUUUACAUCUACUUUUGCAUCUACUUUUCGACGACUUCGUCAAUUCGCAUAUUUUCUUUUACUUACGAGUUCUUAAGAAUUCUUUGAGUUAUACUCGAUGAGUUCUCGAGUUCCGCGUGAAUACCUCUUGGCCGUGGCAUCCGGGCGUAUCGCUGUUGUCGGGACCAAAGUAUUCGAGUUACCACCUUUGUCUGUUGAAAGGUCAAAUCGGCUGGCACACCUUAACUUUGAAUCGGGUAUUAGCCCUUUGUGUUUGCAUAUUCACUUUUGCACCAACAAUUGCAUAAUGGGAUAAUCCUCCUAGAAGCUGUCACUAAUGGGGUGUAUAAGAAUGCUAGCAUGCCAUGCUCUAUUCGCAAUAGUUUGUAGCAGAUCUAUAGCUAGGACAAAAAGAAGAGGGGACACUACUAAAUUUUGACCCUAUUGCAUCACGUCCCCUUGCAUCAAACUCAAAUCUGUAUGCAAUAGGUGGUUGCUAUUGCAUCAGUUAUUUAAAUCUGAUGCAAUAGGUGGUUGUUAUUGCAUCCAAAAAGAGGUUGAUGCGAUAGUAAUUCAUGUCGAUGCAAUAGGUAUGAUCUAUUGCAUCAUUUAGGACAAGGGAUGCCAUAGAUAGAAAUUAUUGCAUCAGACACAUUUGGUUGCCUUAGUAUUGAAUUUUUGAUGCAAUAUGCAGGUGGUAUUGCACCGGUUUAGAAUAUGAAUGCAAUUAGGAAGUACUAUUGCAACAGAUUUGUGUUUGAUGCAACCGAAAUUUUUUGAAAGAGAAUUUAGUAAUGUCAAAACACUUUGUGGUGAAUUGUUAAUUUUUUAAAAUGUGACGCGUCUAAUAAGUAAAUUGUUAAUUAUUUAUGAAAAAUAAGUUACACCUAAUAAUUGAAUUGUUAAUUUUAAGAAAAUAUUCAAAAAAAUAACUAGUAUAAGGGGCUGGGUAGAGGAGUCGAACCUAUACCCCUAGGACAAUCUAGGUCCUAGACAAACCACCAGACUAGUUAUACACUGUUGUAUGGACUAGUAUAUUUUUUCUUUUAUACUAUUAUCUAAUAUGUCAAUAUGGAGACAAUAAAGGGGCGCCCAUCUGACUAUGUGACAAUUAUAUAUAUGGUUAGUUGAUUUGCAAGGCUGCCGCAAUAUUACAUUAGUGGCAUCUUUCUUGUUAAUAUCUUUGGUGUCCAAGAUUGGGUCGUUGCUCAUCUAUAGCUAGGAGAUAGACACGGUAGCCAUUUAGGAUUUGUUGUAAACGGCGACAAAAAAUUCUUGAACACAUACGCAAGAAGAUUGGGCCACGUUGUUUCUUUGCUGAGCACGAGCACGCAGGCAAGCCGUAUUGGGCUCAGACGCACGACUUGGAGUCUUAGGGAGGCACGCACUCCCUGUCGAGCCGCCACUUGAGGAACUCUAGAUGGUGAUCCCAUCAGGUUCUCCAAACUGAAGAUUAUCUUCGGAUCUUUUGUGGAUUUGUGUUGGUGUGUGACCGGGAAUUCAUUUUCUCAGUCACACAUUGGUUUCAGUUGGAAUUGUCUCUCUGGGUCGUGCCCUAGUUGAGCACGGGUUGGAGAACGUCUGCUACUCGGAAUCUUGGAUUAUACAUCUGAUCCUAAUUGUAAGCCGAGUAAUCAUCUAUCUAAUAUUGCUACUGCCCUGCGUGUUAGCCAUCAAUAUUAUAUCAAUUUCAUUGUUACUAGGCGUCACUUGAUUGAUCACGUAAUAUUGAUUGGUUCCCGUACUGUUGUACCUCUGUCCGAAUAUUAUCAUAUAUUGCUACGCUCUUUUGCUUGAUUCUUCCUGUAAUUAAAUAAUAGUUCCAUUGAUUCAUCGUCGUGGUGCAUCUUUAUAUUGGCCAUCUAGUUGUUUACUGUUGUACCUCCGUUACAGCUUGCUCUAUUGCUUGAUUCUUCCUGGAAUCAAAUAAUAGUUCCAUUAAUUCAUCGUCGUGGUGCAUCUUCAUAUUGAUCAUCUAGUUGUUUACUGCACAUCGUAGGCGUGUCCUUGUGACAUACUAUAUUUCAAUUAUCGGCAGCGUGUUCUUAUUUAUCUUUGUGUGUGCUUGUCAGGUGUUCAAAUCAAUGUCAUGCCAAGGUAGAAGUUGGAUGCGGCUGGAUAGGGCAUCUGCAGAGUGGCAACAAGGAUUAACAGACUAUCUUGAUAGCACCUUUGGAGGCAGCUCUAAAGGAGGAACGACACCAUGUCCAUGUUCAACAUGUCGUUGUGUGUCAUUUAGAAAACAGUCAGAUGUUCAGAAUCAUUUGCUGCGGAAAGGUUUUGAUGAAAGCUUCAUCCGAGAGCAGGAAAGUAUAUGUGAAGGUUCAGCUAUUGAUGAUGAUGAUGUGGAUGACAGGGCUGCUACCAUAGAAUUGGUACAGUCUUUGAUUAGGGGUACUAUAUGUGGAGAAAUCGAUGAGGAACAACCAAAUGAGAUGGCAAAAAAGUUUUUUAAAUUGCUAGAAGAGGCCCAGAAGGAGUUGUUUCCAGGCUGCACGGAAGCUACCCAGGUGUCUUUCAUUGUCAAAAUAUUUCAGAUGAAGUGCAUGUUUGGUUGUACUAAUGCUUGCAUGGAGUACGUACUUUCGCUGUUCUUGCUUGUUCUUCCUAAAGGACACUGCCUCCCAGAUAGUAUGGAGAAGAUCAAAAAGAUUCUUAGAGAUCUUGGUCUAAAUUAUGAAAAGAUAGAUGCAUGCUAUAAUGAUUGUGUGUUAUUUAGAGGGAAAAAUUAUGAGGGCAUGGAUCAUUGCCCAAAAUAUGGUGAGACAAGGUGGAAGGAGUCUAAAGAGGUACAGGAUGUUGGCAGCAGUUCUGGCUCAAAAAAGCGUGUUCCACGUAAAAUCCUACGGUACUUCCCACUGAUUCCACGGCUCCAAAAGAUAUACAUGUCAGAGACUAGAGCAUCAUAUAUGCGUUGGCAUAAGGAAGAAUUGGUGGUUGAUGGAAAAAUGCGACAUCCUGCGGACUCCAAAGCAUGGAAACAUGUGGAUGCAACCUAUAAAUGGUUUGCAAAGGAUCCUCGUAAUGUUAGGCUUGGUCUGGCAUCUGAUGGAUUCAAUCCGUUUGGUAUGUUGAAUGUGUCAUAUAGUUGUUGGCCUGUGAUUUUAAUUCCUUACAAUCUUCCGCCGUGGUUGUGUUUGAAACAGCCAUAUUGGAUGUUGUCGAUGAUGAUACCAGGAGCAAGAUCGCCUGGUGUUAGUAUUGAUGUGUACUUGCAGCCUCUAAUUGAUGAGCUCAAAGUUCUCAGGGAAGAGGGUGUCAAAGCCUGGGAUGCAAAGGAGAGGAAGCCUUUUGAUUUGCAUGCAAUUCUACUGUGGACAAUCAAUGACUUUCCAGCAUAUGCAUGCUUUCUGGAUGGAGUACGAAAGGCAAGUUUGCAUGUCCAUAUUGCCAUACAGAAACAAGCCACUUAUGGUUGAAGCAUGGGAAGAAGUUCUGCUACAUGGACCAUCGUCGCUUUUUGCCUAUGGACCACAAGUGGUGCAGAAACAAGGUCAGUUUCAACAACAAGACAGAAUAUAGGGAGGCUCCACAACCACUUACUGGAGAACAAGUGUUGCAACACUAUGAGAGUUUUGACCAAGUCACAUUUGGCCCUGAAUCAAGAAAAAGGAAGCACCGUGCUGAAGAAAAGAGAUGGCACAACUGGAGGAAGAAGAGUAUUUUCUUCGAGCUUCCGUACUGGCAAAAUUUGCUUAUUAGGCACAACUUGGAUGUGAUGCAUAUCGAGAAAAAUAUAUGUGAGAGCAUAUUGGGCACUUUGCUAGACAUAGAAGGUAAAAGUAAGGAUAAUCAAGAAGCUCGGCUUGACAUGCAGCAUCUCGGGAUAAGGAUGGAUCAACAUCCAGUGCAUGAGAAUGGUAAGUUUACCUUACCACCUGCUUUAUACAAAUUAGAGAAAGAUGACAAGAAACUUUUAUGCAAAAUUCUACAUGAAGUUAAGUUGCCUGAUGGGUACGCAUCCAAUAUCCAAAGAUGUGUGGAUGAAAAUCGGUGUCAGCUAUCUGGUCUAAAAACUCACGAUUAUCAUAUUAUAUUCCAAAAACUUUUACCAUUAGUACUACGCAACAUUCUGCCUCAAGAAGUUGUUGUCCCGUUGAUUGACUUGAGUAGGUCUAGAAUGUUGAUUGACUACGCAACAUUCUGCCUCAAGAUUAUCUCUCAAGAGUACGGGCAAUAUGGACUGGUACGGAGUUAUUAAGAAGAUUAUCUCUCUACAGUUCACUGGUGAAAAGGAAGCGAUGAUAUUUCAGUGUGAUUGGUUCGAUGUCCCCGCUCCAACAAAGAACAAAGGUAAAGGGUACAACAAAGAUCAGUAUGGAAUUAUAGAUAUUGAUACUAUCCGUCUCAGAUAUUUAGAUGAUCCAUAUAUUCUGGCGACACAAGCAGAGCAGGUGUUUUAUGUGAAACACGCAAAGAAAUUAAAUUGGUGCAGUGUUGUUCGAAUCAAACCGAGAAACCUUUUCUCCAUGCCAGACUCAGCUAGUGUUGAAGAGGAAUCAGAAAUUGAUGUUGACUCAAUGUUUGUUGGGGUGGAGGACAUGGCUGUUAGACAAGAUCAGGGGGACCUGACGAGUUGGCGACGAAUGAACAUCGAAGGGGAAGCAAUUGAUGCUUCUGUUAUUCAGAAAGCAAUUGCUCAAUCUGUACCAAAACCAAAUGAUGAAGAUUUUGGUGACGGGUGAAGAUGACGUAGACGCAUAUAUUGACGAUGGAGUUGUCGCACCAGCCGUUGCAACAGAUGACGAAGCUGAUGAUGAUUUUUUCGUUUAAGUAUUCACAAUUUUUCUUCAAUGAUGUUUGGAUGUUCUAAGUUAAUCAACAGCAUGCUUACGUUAAAACGUGCAUUUGUGUGUUUAUGACCAGCAACUAGCAGGUUUCAAUUUUUGUGAAGGGUUAUUUAGCUACUAGCAUGUCUAAAUUAAUAGCGUGGUAGAUGGAGAUCUCUCACAAUCAUGCUGUGUUGGGAGGUUUGGAACAAAACAAAUGUGCAAGAAACGGGAGAGAACCACUCCAUAAAUUAGGCUGCGUUUAUAUUUCUUAUUUUUGCUACUAUUGCGGUUAUAGUUAGCCUUGUAUCUCUCCAAUCAAAGGUCCAUCGUACCUUCUUAUCUUAAAUUUUAGCACCGGUGCGUUUUUGUCUCCAUGUUUCCAGAAAAUCUAGGACUCGAUGCACCCUCCGUCGCUUGAGUUGAUAUAUCAAAAUAUAUCAUCAAAAUUGAGGAUAAAAGUGCUUUCUAAGGAUAUCACACGGAUGUCCUUAAAGAAAGCGUCUUCUCUAAAAUGACAGAGAGAAUUGAGUUGGAAGCUUCUGUGAUUUCGAAAGAACAAGAAAGGCGCAUUCUUCAUGAAACCUACAAGGAAACCACUGGAUGCAAGAGCAAAAAAGGUCCUGGACAUGGAUACUUGGCAAAGUAUCUGACCCGAAGCCAACUUAUGAAUGAACAAAUUGAAGAGCAAACUCGUGCAUCUGCAUUAGCAGCAGCAGCCCAACAGAAGAAUAGUGAGAUGCAAGCUGAGGUAGAUAGCUUAAAAGAACAGCUUACCGUUCAAGCCGCUGAGAGAGUGAAAGACAAGGAACAAAUUGAGCAGCUGCAACAUCAACUGGAGAGUACAACUAGCAAGAUUAGAGAAGAACUAAGGCAAGAGCUUUUUUCACUAAUCAAACAACAAAAUCAAGCACCGCCUUUGGUAAUAAUACUACUUCUUAAUUGUUUCCAACAUCUUUGAUUUUACUAAAGCUUGAUUGCUAAUGUUUCUCCUUAUAACUCCAAUGCAAGAAUGCUGCACCAACCACAACAGUCCGUCAGCCUGUAGAAGCAGCCACUAAUCCUUCAGAAUUCACAACUAAUGCUACUGGUAUUGAAAAUAUGGUUAGUGGAAAUGAAGGUGUAGAUUUAGCACAGGUAUUAUUUCUUGACAAAUGCAAACUGCAAUGAAAUGGACACCUACAUUUAAUCUGAUAAAAUGUGUGAAUCUUAUUUUUUUUAAUACGAAGGCUGGUACAAAAUCUACCUUGUCCACCCUUGAUGAACCUGCUGUUGUUCCUACUCCCAUCCAAGGAGCAGAACAUGUGCAAAAGGUAAUAUGCUUCAAAAUUUUAAGGUGCAGUUGAAUAGAUUCUUAGAAUUGUUAAGUGCUAAUUGCUCCUUCAAAUCUUUUGGUUCUUACAGAAUGUAGCAAACAAUGUAUUGUUGAGCAAACAGAACAAUAUCCAACCUACUAGUCGCCUCACUCGCAGCCAUGUCAACAAAUCACUUUUCACGGGUGAAAAAGAUAAAGAUAGUAAUGAGACAGUGACAUUUAUUUCAGCACAAACACUUAGGAAUACUGCUGCAAAUAAAAAGCAAAACUUUAGAAAGAAAUGAGGAAAGGUAUGAGCAAUGAGGUGUCAUUUUAAGUUGUUGUCCAUUUAUUAACAUAAACUUUGUUCACUUAUACAUGUAUGUUUGUUCACCUAACACGAGCAAUAAAGAGUUCAUGCCUUAUAUGUUUAUGCUUUGGCUUUAGUAUCCAUUCUAUUUGUUAAACCCAAAAAUAUUGUUGUCUAUCAUGUGUUGUUUUUGUUUGAUUGCAUCUAUGUGAUCAACUAUGUAUACUAAUGUAUGUCAUUUUACCUUUUUUAGGAAGAUCAACUUUGAGUCUUGCCAAGCUGAAAUGAAUCAAAUAUUGUGCAACAAGGAAGAUGACAUAUUUAUUUGUGCUAAGAGACAUGUUUUUUGUUGUUUAUGAUUGCUUAUUUGUAGCAUAAGUUAGUGGUUUGUAAUGCAGUUUAGCCUUGCAAUUACCUAUUUGGAAAUAGGAAGGCAUUAGACUUCCUUACAUUGUACAAACUAUUGAAUGCUUAUGAUCCAAGUUAUUAAUAUGAUUGACUUUUUGUGCCAUUGAAUUUUGUAAUUUUAUGAAUUUCUAUGCGAUGAAUUUGAUGCAAUAAUUGGUUGUCCUAAACUCAUGUCGAUGCAAUAGUUCGUAUUGCAUCCAACCUCAUGUCGAUGCAAUAGUUCGUAUUGCAUCCAACCUCAUAUCGAUGCAACAGUUCGAAUUGCAUUGAACAUAACGUCGAUGCAAUAGUUCAUAUUGCAUUGAACCAAAAUGGUGAUGCAAUAGAACUUCUUGCAUCGCAUCAAAAUGGUGAUGCAAUAGAUUAUAUAGCAUCGAACCUAAUAUGGAUGCAAUAUAGUCUAUUGCAUCGAACGAUAGUCGUUGCAAUAGAUGUAUUGCAUCAACAAGAUAUCGAUGCAAUAGUCUAUUGCAUCUCUCCAUUUUGAUGCAAUAGACAACGGAUGGACGAUGCAAUAGCUGCCUCUCGCAUCAACCACAAGUAACCGAUGCAAUAGGCAAUUGCAUCAAGACUUAUUGCAUCGGACAACAUCAAACGAGAAAUUGAUGCGACACCAAACUAUUGCAUCUAUUUUAGACCUAUAACAUCAAAAAUUGGCUGGUGCAAUAGGGUCAAAAUUUAGUAGUGGGACAGCGGAUCCCCCUAUCUGACCCCCAUUUACACUUGAAGGAUUUACUUGGUAUGCCAUUUAAGAGCACCGAGGAGCUUGCUGAGCUUAGAAGAUUUUCUAUCCAACUAACCCAUUGAAAGGAUCAAGAUGCCCAAGAGGGGGGUGAAUUGGGCUUCUCUAAAAAUUUAAGCAACCUAUAAGCUCUAAUUCAACCCCUUGUGCCUAAAGUGUUCUAGAGGGCUACCAGAUAAAAGUUUUGCAACCUAAUUUCAAUCCUAUUCUAGCAUGGCAAUUCUAGGAAUGUAAAUUCUCAAAGUAAAUGCUAGAAAGUAAAGGAGGAGAGCAAGAAGAACGCGGCGAUGUUUUGCCGAGGUAUCGGAGAGUCGCCACUCCCCACUUGUCCUUGUUGGAGCACCCGCACAAGGGUCUUGCUCCCCCUUGGUCCGUGCAAGGACCAAGUGCUCUCUACGGGCUGAUUCUUCGACACUCCAUCAUGGUGAAUCGCCCAAAAUCGCUCACAAGCUUGACACGAUCCACCCACAAGAACUCUCGGCGGUCUUCGUGCCUCCAAUCACCACCGAACCAUCUAGGUGAUGGCGAUCACCAAGAGUAACAAGCAAAGAACUCUCACUUGACCCAAACAAGGCUCUAGAGAGUUGUGGAUGCACACUUGAACUCUUGGAACUCAACUAGAGAACGAUUCACUCAAGAAACACUCAAUUCUCAAUCCUCUCUAGGCUCUUGCUUCUCUCUUGCACCACAAGGUGUUUCUCAGCCGAUCAAAUGGGCAAGAGACCUCCCAUGGACAAGGUGGAGGAGUAUAAAUACUCCCCAUCAAGUCCAAGGGUGGGCCACUAGAAUUCCACAGAAAACGGGAGCACCAGACACGCUUGAUGUUGCACCGGGCGCACUGCACUGAGCGUGCGGUGCCCCGUUAACGGCCAACUAUACUUCCUCUGACAACACACCGGAUGCACUCAUAGUUGGUCUGGUGCCAGCAUCCAGUGUGAGAGUGAUCUGCAACCCUCUCUGGGUACGGCACCGGACGCACCCCAGUGGGUCCGGUGCGUGCGUCCGGUGCCCGGUCGAUUUGCAGACCUCCCUGGGUAAGGGACCGGAUGCACCCCGGUGAGUCCGGCGCGUGUGUCCGGUGCCUAACCCUAGGCACCCAGGUACGCUGACCCAAGUCAGCACCACCUGACACACUCACAGAGCAUCCGGUGCAGCGUCCGGUGCCUGUUUAGGCACCCAAACUUUGUCAAAAUGUGAUCUUUCCAAAAUGAAGUUUAUUCCUCUCGAUCUAAGGACUUUCUCAGAGCUGCCUAGUGCUAGGUUUACCAAGUGUGCACCACACCUAAACCUAAAGCCUUGCCUAGGUCAAGCUACCCGCUCAAUGCCCCCCUUAAUAGUACGGUCAAAGGAAAAACAAAGUCCUAAACUACUCUGAGUGCCCUUCUUCACCAUAUGGCACUUAGACCUAGUCUACUCCCGACGAUGUCCAACCAUCCUUUGAAAAUUGAAACGAUUUCCACCAUUAAGUCGACAUGAGCGAUCUAGUCCAUUGAUCACCAUUACCAUGACCUAACAUAAAUGGCUUUGCCUCUGCAAAACACACAUUAGUCAUAGUAAUCAACAUUGUCAAUAAUCACUGAAACUCAUUAGGGGCCUAGAUGCUUUCAAUCUCCCCCUUUUUGGUGAUUGAUGACAAUAACCUCGAGUAUGUUUGAAGUGAGGUUUUGAAAUGACUUGGUUUCUAUAAGCAUGAGAUAGUAAGAUCAAAAAGGGAUUAGACAUGCUCAUAUCAACGAAGCCUCAUAUCCUACAUCCAAACAUGUGAAAUGUGUACAACAAGAUAUAACAACAUAUGGCUCAUAAGAUAUCAAAGUAAAAGCACGGAAGCAAAGCAAUAUGAGCCAUACACAUGACAUGAAUAUAUCAGCAUAAAGCAUAAGUCAUGUCUCAUAACCAUAGCAUAGUGUAUCUCACAAGCAAAGUAUCUCACAAAUGCAUGAAAUAAACAUGAUGCAUGAUAAGUAGCACACAAAAGAAUCAAAAGCCUACUCACUAGCUCCCCCUAACUCUAGCAUACUCUACUCUCUCCCCCUUUGGCAUCAAGCACUAAAAACCUAGCCAAAAACCUAAGAAGCUGAAGGCAGAAGUGGAGCAGAGGAGUCUCGUGGCACGGCCUCAAACUGAGUUGUGUCAUCAUCGGUGCCAUCUCCAGUGGACUCUAACGAAGCUGUCUGACCCUCUGAUGGUGCACGUGCUGGAGUAGCAGUCUGGGUCGUCUCUGUGGGCUCUGUAGCGGUCUGUGUCACUGCCAGAGUCUCAAGUCCUAUGGAAGAAGCUAGCACAGUCUCAGUAGCUAUUGCUAAAGUCUCUGGAACUAUGGAGGACGGUGCAAGCUGCUUAGACGAUGCCAUGGACGACGACAGACGCUCGGUAGUGGUAACUAGCAAGGUAAAAGCAGUAGGAGCCUGCUGAGUAGAUGGAGUGGGCAUGCCAGUUAGAGCACUAUACAACAAUGACAGAUCCUACUCCACUGAAGAAUCCAACACAAGCUGAGAAGCGGAGGCAGCUGUGGAGUGAACCCGGAGCGCAGAGGUGUGAACUGAGGGGUAUGCUCAAAGCCAGAAGAGAUAGCACCCUGAGAUACCUGGUGCUGUGGAGUAGUGAACGGCUGGCUAUGAGCAGGAAGCUGGAGCGGUGGCUAAGACUGACUCUGAAGCCCAUUGGGCUGUAAAACUGGAGUCAGUGGUCUAACAGUGGAUGUGCCUAGAAGCUGCACCAGUGGUAAAGUAAUCCCUAUCGCUGCCAUCAGAGUUGUCUGCUGGGCCUUGAAGGCUAACUGCUACUCCUGGAAGGAGAGUAGCUGUCUCUGAAGCUCGUCCUGCCUAGCCAACAUGGCUGCAUUAAUAGCAGUCUGCUCUCUAUCACAUCUAGCCUGCUCCUCAGCUGCCCUCUGCUAAUCGGCUCUCAUGCCCUCAAGUAUAGCAAGCAAAGCUAGGUCAGUGGCAGUAGAAGAACCUCCAGCCUCGUGGUCGUGCUGCAUCGGAGGAAGAUCUGGGAUGGGAAGCUGAUAAUCACCAUUAGAACAAUCAAAAGCAAAGUCAAACUCCCCCUCGACCUCUGCCUCUAUCACUGAGCCAAUAGCUAUGUCCUGCUCCUCCUCUAUCUCUGGAACUACCCCUGAACUAUGAGUGGCUUUGGGUGAAGCUGGUGGAGCUCUGCCAUGUGGUGCUAGAGGAGGUGCUGGAGCUCUAAGGUCCAUGUGAGUCCUCAUCAUCUGCUGUGGGUCGUAGUAUGGGAACACUGUCACUAUCUCUGUCAGCUCCCUCUAGAUGUGAGGUGGAAGGGGGUAUGUUCUAGCAUGAAGAAUCAGAAGAGUAAUCCAGUGUGCAUACGGCAGCUGACGACGGCCCCUGAAACCCUCAGCAAUAGUAUCCUCAAUCUAAGAGAUAAUCAAAUCCCAAAUAUCAUACUCCCUCUGAGCAACUAGAUGAGCAAUCAACCACUACUAAAUCCUAGUAAAACUGUCACGGUAGCCAGGCCUCGGAAGAAGGGUCUUCCUCAUCACAAAGUCUAUAAUCCGAGCGGGACGAGUGAGACCUCCAACUGAGCGGCUGGAACCCUCUGUGAAAGGCUGGUGGAAGCACGGUGAGAUGAAGUCCACUGGAGGGAGCUCACCACCGUGGGGUCGACGAGGAGGCUCAUAGCUGCCAUAGCAAAUCUCGUGGAUCUUGGUGUCGUAAGCUGUCAGACCCCAAGUCUCUCACGCACGCUGAGAUGUGACUCUGUAGUCAGUGCGUGCCAGUGCGUAGUGGAUGAAGCUGUGGUCUGGGGCAAUCUAGACUGAAGCGUUGAGCUCUCUCACCCACUCCUCCACAUAAGUGUCUGGCAGAGCUAGUAAUGCUGCAAGUCCUGAAAGGUAGCUCAGAUAGAGCCUAAUGUCUCGAGCAACGACGUUGCCCAGCACCUUAAUGUCCAGAACCCUCUACUCUCUGAACUGAGCCUGACUAUGGACAUACACCAUGUACAUAUCCUCUUGUACCACUAUGUAGAACCUGGCGUGUGCCCUCUGAUCCCUAGUAGCUGGAAAGCAAGAGGGGAACGGCAUGAACCUCAGCUCCUGGAUCUCACGAGUAGGUGCUCGAGUGUAGUCUUUGUGGAUCUAGGCUGGUGCAGGACGUGGAGCUAGGGUAGAAUGAGCUGGAGUGGAGCGAGCAGACGUAGAUGACUGACGCUGCGUACCAAACCUAGAAGCAGCCUAGGUACGAGCGCGAGUCGACCUACGGAGGGGCUGCUCCUCCAGCUGUGCCUCUGACUCUGCCUCUGCCUAUCCCUCUAUCUCUGUCUCCUCCUGUCUAGGCUCUCUGACAUCUAUCCUGACUGGAUGACCUCCUAGCAUGAUAGUGCCAGGUGGAGUCCCAUGCAGCUGCUCUACCAUGGUCGCCAACCUUCCUCUUCUUGGCUAGCACCUUCUUCCCCUUACCCUUUUCUGCAGCUAUGAAUCAGCGGGGAGCAUCGUCACCCCCAUUGCCUCCAGGAGUGCCACCAAUGCCACUAGUCAGACCAGUGACGUUCUUGCAACAUGCCAUUGCAAGAACACUCAAACACAAGCUGACAACUGACACUCGAGAGGCUUGACCUCAAUCCGUACUUGCGGGCUUGGCUCUGAGUUCAACUGUCACUGACCAACUACCAAACGAGACUCAUUGUUAGAGUAAAUAGGAAUAGUACCACAUUGUGUAUCCACAUAAGGUGUUAGUCCUAUAUACCCUAUAUAAUCAGCCCAUGAGGCCCAAUGCAAUAUAUCAAAUAUUCCACCAAUUAUAUUUUCCAACAUGGUAUCAUUCGCCUAGGUUUAGAUUCUAACCCUAGCCGCCGCCGCUUCCGCACUGCGCGCCCCCGGGGAGAGGUCGAUCUCCGCCGGGGGCAGCGCCCCUCUUUAGGCGCUUCUUCUCUAGUCUUACCGUCUGUAGCGCUCCCGCUGUGACUAUGGGGGGAUGUUAGAGUAAAUAGGAAUAGUACCACAUUGUGUAUCCUCAUAAGGUGUUAGUCCUAUGUACCCUAUAUAAUCAGCCCAUGAGGCCCAAUGCAAUAUAUCAAAUAUUCCACCAAUUAUAUUUUCCAACACUCAUGUGCUGCAAGAGAUGGAAUAGAUAGGGUGUAUAUAAGCAAACAUAAUAGCUAGAGGAGAGAAAGCCCUAAAGAUCGUAAGCAAUAGAUAAGAACAGACGAGAACGGCUUACAACCUGUGACGAGAUGCGUUCCGGAAGAUCAGAAGAAAUCCGAGAGACACAGAAUGCAAAGAUAUGCACACCAGGGUCCUGCAUAGGUGAAACAACGAGAGACAUUGUCAAAAACAAUAUUCGGAUCGGUUCGGGCAUUGAAUCGAGCAGGUGGUGUGCAUGGGUGAAGAAACUCACCCCAAACCCUUAAUCCACGUGAGAAGGAGCUCCUGCGUGUAGAGAAUGGAGGAGGAAAGCCACGGAGACGAUCUAGCACAGAGGAGAUCACAGAUUGCCAGAGAAAAUGCAAAGAACCACCGCGGUGGCGAGUUCUCAUUAGGGUUAGGUCAUUUAGGGUUUAGGCGAGCUCGUGACUGGGAGAAAAAAACACGGAGAGAGAAAGAUUUGGGGGACGGGUGAUAUACUGCCUUCACAGGGGCACCGGACCUGCUUAAGUUGGCACCAGACGCAUUUGGUGCCCACCAGACUCGUGCGCAGAGAGCUUUGUAGAUUGCGUGAGCACUGGACACAGGCCACCGGACGCUCGCCUAGCGUCCGGUGCUGCAAGUCACGCCUCAGGAGGUCACCGAACGCAACACAUCGGACGCGCUCAAGGCACUGUGCGCGGCUCCGGUGUGUGCUGUACAGGACAUACAGUACACCGGACGCACUGGGAGCGUGUCCGGUGCAACGUCUAGUGCACCUUUAGCUAGAAUUUCAACAAGAUCUUUCGCCCAACUUUCACCCAACCAAGUUCCAAUUUCAAGAAGACUCAAAUAAGCACUAAUUGGAACUGGUAUGAGUGACCUCUCUCAAACCCUCAAAUUUUCACAAAUAUUUAACCAGAGGCUUAGUAGUUUUUAUGAAAAUAAUCGAAUGGAAGCACCAAGGAGCUGGCCAAAAAUCUAGGGGUAUAAAACAAGAUGAGCUCUGAAUGCCCCCCUAUCAAUGUACGAACACAGCGGAUGCUCAAAGCAUAACAAAAAAAUGACAAGGCAACAAGCAUGCAUAUGAUAUGCAAUGCAAUGCAAUACUUGAGAGAAAACUAAUGCUUGUCAAGUUUGAUCCAAGGUUAAGCUUUUUCAUUCACACAUGGGGGUUAUCUUAACCAUGUUAGACAAGAAAUACUCACAAUCUUUUUGGAUUUUUAUUUUUGGUAUGCAUGAGAUGCAAAACAAAAGCUAUUUACAAGAACAACACACAACUUCAUUUUUUAGUGAAGUUAGAAAGAUCAAGCACAUUUAAUUAAUUUCUCAACAUAAAAAUCCUAGCUUCAUCUAUGAGUUUUGUGAAGAUAUCCACCAAUUGAUUUUCUGUCCCCACAUUCUCUAGGGAUAUGUCACCUUUAGCAACAUGAUCCCUAAGGAUGCGAUGACGGAUGUCAAUGUGCUUAGUGCGGGUGUGUUGAACCGGAUUGUUUGCAAGUUUUACGACACUUUCAUUGUCACACAACAAAGGUACUUUAUCUAGAACUACUCCAUAGUCUAGCAAAGUUUGUUUCAUGUAUAGUAUCUAUGCACAACAAGCAUCGGCAACAAUGUAUUCCGCCUCAGCCGUUGACAAAGCAACACUAUUUUGUUUUUGACAUCCAAAAGACAAGUGAUCUACCUAGGAAGUGGCACCCUCCGGAUGUGCUUUUUCUAUCAAUGCGGCACCCGGCGUAAUCCGAAUCGGAAUAGCCUAUAAGUUGGAAUCUUGCACCUUUGGGAUACCACAAGCCUAGAUAAGGUGUGUAUUUUAGGUACCUAAGAAUUCUCUUGACGGCAAUCAAGUGAGAUUCCAUAGGCAUAGCAUGAUAUCUAGCACACAUACACACACUAAACAUGAUAUGGGGCCUAGAUGCGGUGACGUAAAGUAAACUUCCUAUCAUGGAGCGAUAGAGAGUUUUGUCAACCAGGUUACCUCUCUCAUCCAAGUCGAGAUGCCCAUUUGAUGCCAUGGGAGUCUUGAUUGGCUUGCAAUCCAUCAUCUUGAACCUCUCAAGAAGAUCUUGAGUGUAUUCUCUUGAGAGAUGAAGACCCCUUCCUUCAUUUGCUUGACUUGAAACCCGAGGAAGAAGGAUAGCUCGCCAAUCAUGGACAUCUCAAACUCCUUGGACAUCAAAUCACCAAAUUCCAUGCAAAAAUCUUCAUUAGUGGAGCCAAAAAUAAUAUCAUCAACAUAAACUUGGCAAAUGAAGAUUUCCCCAUUCAUUUUCUUGGUGAAGAGUGUUGUGUCAACUUUCCCAAUCUUGAAGCCCUUCUCAAUGAGGAAGUCCCUAAGCCUCUCAUACCAAGCUCUAGGGGCUUGCUUGAAACCAUAGAGCACCUUGGACAACCGGUAGACAUGCUUGGGGUACCUACAGUCUUCAAAACUAGGGGGUUGCUCAACAUAGACAAGUUCAUUAAUGUAACCAUUUAAAAAGGCACUUUUCACAUCCAUUUGAA